AAGUUUAAUUUGUUUAAAAAAAUAGAUUUAAAAUUUUGACAUUAUUUCAAAAUUUUGAUGUAAAUUUUUAAUAUUUAAUAUUUAAUUUGAAUUUAAAUUAAUAUAUUAUAAAGAUAACGUUAGUAUAUUAAUUUGAUUACGUUUUUAAUAUCCACCUGAACCAAACACCGACAAUAGGAAUGAUUUAUUUUGAUUCCGAUUCAGGUGAUGAACCAAACAAAAUUAGGUAAUGAGUCAUUCCGAUUCCGAUUCCAGCUUAUUUUGAUUCCGAUUCCGAUUCCGAUUCCCACGCCGACUUCGAACCAAACACGCCCUAGAUCUCUUGGUGGUACAGUACUGCAAAGCUAGAAUCCAAACAUUCUGCAGAAAAAUAAUUAAUGCUGCAAAUAAUAAUCAGAGCAUUGGAUGCUUCUUCUGUUCCAUCAAAUGAUUAAUUUGGAGACUUUUUUUUCUUAAAAAAUAUAUAUAACAAGCUAAGGUGAGGUAUCAAACUUUUACAUUGGAGAGAUGAUGCAUUGCAAUAUUAUUGCAAUGCAAAGCUUUGGAAGUGAGUUUGCUCACUCAUCAUAUAAGCACAAGAUGAGGGUUGUGAUUAGCGAUGCAAUGGGUACGGAUACUCGAAAUUUUUUUUUCUGAAUUCGAAUCCGAACUGAGAGGAUUUAUUCGAUGCUAAAAAGAUAUAGUUUCAAUAUAUUUCAGAUAGGAUAGUUCGUUUUGUCAAUCUAUAAUUUGGAUAUUUUGUUGGUUCCUUUUUAAGUUUAUCUUUAAUUCAACUUAAUUUUAUUAACUGUUGGAGGAGUUAAAUGGGUACUUAGCCAUAUUAUGAAGGGAAUAUUAGCAAUAUAGAUAGUUUUGAUAUUUUCUCUUAUUUUAAAGGGUAUUUUUCACAUUGGCAAUUUUAGAAAAGCUUUGGAUAAUCAGGGACGAACGAAAGUAGGGAUGUCAAUGGGUCGGAAUAAAGACGGCUUUUCAAAAAUCCGAACUCGAACUCAACUAUCGAAUCCGAAAUCUGAACCCGAACCCGAAUCUAAAGAAUUUUAAAAAUUCAUAUCCAAAUCCGGAUCUGGCCAAAAACCCGAAACUCGAACUCAAAUCCGAACCCAAAAACCCGAAUCCGAAAUAAUUAUUUUUCUUUACAAUAUUUCAAUACAUAUUACAUUAAAUCUAAAUUUUUAAAAUAUAAGUUCAAAUAUAGCAUCAAACAUUUAUAUAUAUUAUAUAACUUUAAAAUCAAUUCAGUUUCUGGUUGGGUUUGGAUUCGGGUUAGGUACAGUCAAAAUCCAUACCCAAAUUCAAAUCCGUCAAAUUUUCGUUUUUGAUAUCCAUAUCCGAAACUAUUUAUGUUUAGCAUAGAGUAAAUUCGCUCUAUUUGGAUUUGGGUUCAGAUGAAUUUUCGAAUAUUCGUAUCCAUUGACAUCCCUAAUUUACAAAAAUGUACUUCUAAAAUUAACCCAAAUGUUUAUUACCUUAUUAUAUCCAUGUUGAGUGGCCUUGGACUUGUCACAUAUAUGAUGGAAAUUGGUAACUUAAGUGCUCCAUUUUCUCUACUAUAUGGGCCAAGUUGGGGGCUUCCAAUUGGGCUUGAGAAAAGAGAAUAAAGAACUUGGGCUUGCCAACAUUGAUUAUCUAUUUAAAUACUCAAAUUGAAUUUGUAAUAAUGAUAUGUUUAAUACUCCAAACCUCUUAGAGUGAAGCCUAUAAAAGAAGAGGAAAAAAAGAGAAAGUAAAAGGGAUAUGGUUGUUUAAACAAUAAAUCUAUGCAUGUGAAAGUUAAGUUUCCUCAACUUUUUGCACGAACAGAGUUAUUUUUUUGUAUCAACUGAUUGAGUUUUGAUUAUUUCAACAGUUGGUAGAAAUAUUAACCUUCAGUAUAUAUAUAUAUGAUGUAGGGCUGUCAACAUGUCGGUUCCGGAGUGUUUCUGGCAAAAUGCUAAGCCGAAUCUUAAUAAAAUUAUAAUUGAAUUCGAACUCAUUGGAUUUUUAUUUUUUAUACUCAAAAUUGAAACCUUAUUCAUUUCGUAUCGGUUAAACUCAUCCUUAUUAUGAUUCAGGUUGGGAUAAAAUCUCUUAUAUCCAUCUCUAUUGACAUUGAUGUGACUAUUAUGUCACUUUUAUAUAUAUAUAUAUANNNNNNNNNNNNAUAUAUAUAUAUGUUCUAGAAGAGAAUCUCCUUUCGGGCUUUUAAUUAGGACCUAGUGCCCCUAUCUAUUACAAAGGCAACAAAUAAAAAAUAAAAAUAAAAAUGUUUAAAAAUAAAAUAAAAUUUUUUCUAUGUAAUUGGAUGGGUUGGACUUGGCUCCACUGCUUUAAAAUCAUUUGGAGAGAAGCCUUUGACACAUGGCUGGAAACUAUGGAGUAAUAAUAUCCAACAUGCAAUCCAAAUCCACAAGCUUCUCUCACAGGUGGCUAAAUAUUAACAACAUAAAAUAAAUAAAUAAAUAAAUAAGUUAGGGAUGUGCCAAUACUAAUUGACAACAUGCAUGAUUCCCCAACUUGCUUGAAAAGAAUAGGCCAAGUGAAAAUUUUAUGAAUAAAAAAGAGAAAAUUUUAAAGAUUAGAAAUCCAAGCUGUUGGCUCGGAUUCUCCGUUAGAACUUGACCUCCUAAAACACGCCAUGUUCGGCCGCUUAAUUCGGACCGAAUUUGGAUGAGCGCGACUCAGAUACAAAUAAAUGGUCGAAUCAUGAAAUCUCCGUGGUAGUUCUCUUAACAGAUACUAAUAAAUGGUCGAGACCGCCUGCCUCAACUUUCAUCAAUGGCUAAAACUUCGUUCUCUUGAUUUGAAAUUAUCUUUUGCCAAAUGUUGAGCGGCCAAGAUCAUCCGUCACCCUUUCAAUCCAACGGCCGAAAUUUCGCGUCAACAAGUCUGUACUGUCUGUUUGGACUAGCUUCUGAAGCAGCUUAUCUAUUACUUAUAGAAAUGAAUAGAUAGAUGUCCAAGGAUAUAUAAGAAGUUAUAAGCUUUUCGAAGAAUUUGAAGCAAAAGUUUGUGUACCAAAUUUGGAAUAUUUUACUCAAAUAGUUAUACGCAAACUCCACGGCAUGGGACAUUGUCUAGCAUGAAGCCCAACAAACUCUCUAUGAUCCCUAAUUUAAGGAUGUUAAUUGACCCCACGAAACCCACCUAACAUGAUCCAAAUCCAACAAACCUAUUAUAUUUGGAUCCUACCUUUUAUCCUAGGCUCAAUUCAAGUGAGCUGAAAUAAUAUAUUUACAUAAUACCUUCUCGCUUUUGCACUUAGGUCUUAUAAAUAUACUAAUCCGACCAGCUGAUACCUUUAUCCGCAAUUCACGUUAAACAUAUAGAACAAUUUUUUUUUUAAGGAAAAGAAAUAAAUACUUUUAAUGAACUUUAGUAAUGUGACAUUAGCCCCACUUUGGUUUCCUUAGCAAGUGAAAUGCACUACAUCUUAGGAGGCCAAUAAUUUGACACCACACAAUUAAUUCCCCCAUAAUCACCAAAACCUAUUGGCCCUUUUUUUUUAUAUUAUUAUUAUUAUGUCCCUUUGGGCAAACUCUUCUUUCAUCUCUUGUGUAGGCCACUUAACAUUUUAUUGACCAAUUUUUCCUUUUUGUGGAUUCCAAAGGGGAUUUGGUGACAACACAACAAGAUCAUGAUGGUGACUUGCUUCAUUAGUGGAUUGGUCUCUCUAUUUGUGGGAUAUUUUUUUCUUUUUUUUUUUUUCUUUUUUUUAAUUUGCUCAUCCACCACUUGUAGUGCAUCUAAGAUUUGGAGGAUCAAAGAAAAAGUUUAGUUCAAGAUUCCCCACCAAUCUUAUCUCAAGCUUCAUAUGUAAACCUAUCCUUAGCAGAUAAUCAAGCAAAAAGGUAGAAUUUUUUUUUUUUUUUUCACUAGCAAAGUAUUUGGGCCACAAUAUUUCAUUAAUUCCUAACAAAAAUUUAGGUUUUAAGCAUUCAUAUUUUAGAUCGGUAAAAGCAUACAAAACUUAUCUGAACUAUAAAUCAUUUUGAAUCGGCUAUCUAAUCUUUAAAAAUUUUAAUUUUUCUACCAAACUUUCGAAAUUAUUAGAUUUGAGUCAAUCAAUAACACUGACUUUAAAAUUUAAGUUAAUUACUUAUGUUAAUGAACUUAUAGUUGCGAAAAUUGUAUAAAAUAUAGUAAUUAAAUCUGUAAAAAUAACAAUAUAUUUAAAUUUUAAAGUCAAAGAACUAUUGACUAACUCAAAUCAAAUUAAAUUAAAAGGUUGGAUAGUACGUAAAAUCAAAAUUUUGAAAGAUUAGGUAGCUAUUUCAAAAUAGCUCACAAUUUAAAAGAAGUUCAAUACGUUUUAUCUUAAUAAUAUGAGAGCCACGCAGGCGGCAAAAAUGUUGAUAGUUGGUACCUGAACUUUCAAGUUUGAAGUCUAGUUACUUUAUAUUUUUAGCUAAAUUUAUUUCUAAAUAAAUAAAAAAAAUAAAUAGCAUCUACCUUUUUUAGAAAAAGAUAAUGUUGUCAUGAGGGCCCAAUCCCAAUAUCUUUUGAAAUACUAUGGGAGCUCAUAUCUCUCUCUCUCUCUCUCUCUCUCUCUCUCUCUAACAAAUGCUUGGGAAUCACUUUAUAAAAAGGUUGCUUAAAGAGUUGGCCACAAUGGAGAACCAACACAUUUAGCACAUGAUAUGUCUAAGGCAUCUCUAUGAUCUCUAUAUAUCUUAUUUAGUGGAUAAACCAAAAUUAAUCAACCAAGAUUUCUCUCUCUCUCUCUCUCUCUCUCUCUCUCUCUCUCUCUCUAAUAUUAAUUAUAUAUAUAUCUAUACUAUAUAUAAAGUCGUAUAUUCAAAUUUGGGUCUGUCGACAGACUAUUUUUCGCGGAAAAAUUAGUGCUCAUUUUUCUCUUUCCGUAAAAAUUUUAAUAUAAGAAUAAAAAUAGAAUAGAAACGCAAUGAAUAGUAAGUUCUCAAUAACAAGAUUACUGAUGUAUAAAAUCCUAAAAUAUAAAUUUUUCUAUUUAAUUUAAAAGUAAGUUUUCUAUAACAAAUUAGGGCUGUAAAAAUCUAUAAAAGAUAGUUUUCUAUUUUAUUUUAAAUAUCUUUUUUAGAUAUUAUCUAUUUAAUUUCAAAAUAUAUUUUCUUUUUAAAUAACGGAUUUUAUUUUUCUAUUUAAUUUCAAAUUUAUUUCCUAACAGAUUUUAUUUUUCUAUUUAAUUUCAAAGUAAUUUUGCAUAGAUAUUGUUAAUUAUUUAUCAUUUAAAGCAUAAUCUUUCUUAAUAGCUGAUUUAUUAUUUAAAUUUUUUAGAUACAUAUUUGGGAAUCAAUUAAAAUAUGGCCUAAAAUUAAAAAAUAUUUAAAAAAUUAUAACUUUUCUAAUAAUUAUACGUGUAUUUGCACGUACAUUUUACGUGUGUAUUAUAUAUAUUAUUUAUAUUAAUAUAUUAUAUUAUAUAUUAUAUUAUAUAUAUAUAUAAAUUGCACUAUGUAGGAAGAGAAUCAAGUCUAAGUUGAUUUUGUUCAAAGGUGGUGGAGCAUGGAAUAUAUGCACCUUUGUUGUUUCCUAUGUUUUGCUCUAACAUUCAUUCGUUUACUUUUAUGAGUAAACAUGUGAAAUAUUAGUAGAGGCGUGCAAUUUUGACCGAUUUUUAUAUUGACAUUUUUGCUUUUUUAUCGCUAACUACUAUUCAAAAUUUUUAAAUUUGUUUUAAAAUUACCAAAAUUAAUGCUCUUCUUAUUCCCAAAUCCUAUUAGUAAAUUUUAAAAGUUUGAAAAUAUUUAAUUUUUUUAAAAAAAUCAAUAAGAAUAUUUUGAUCAAUCAGGAAUAUAUUAGAUAUUUUUAAAGUUUUGAAGGGUAUGUUAGAUAUUAUCUUUUUUACCUUUUGUUUGAAAUCAUCCAAAUAAACAUUUAUGCCUCUAGAGUAGAAAAGGUUGCUUAUUAUUAAAUUGACUUUUCCGAUAACAUGGUAUCUGAGUUAAUCUUAAGUUUUUCAUUUUUAGGAUGUUCCCGAAGUUUUAUCUAAACCUGAAUUCAAAUUGGAUGGGUUUACUCGAAGCUCAACAGAUAUAAAUUCAAAUACGGGGAUAAAAAAGCCAAUACUGAUAAAUGAUAGCGGUUCCCUAGGGUUGAGUGGGUGGUUGGUUAAAUAGUAUGAUUUGAUGGAUGAAAAUGAUUAAUGGAAUAAAUCUAAGGGUCGAAAAAUUAUGAGUAUAAAAAAGUCAAUACUUAUAAAAGUAUAGUAGUCAGACUAUAUAUAUAUAAAACUAUAUAUAUAUAUAUAUAUUUAGUUUACACCUAAUUAACCCAAUUUCAAACCCCAUAAGAAUUUGAAUUAGUUUCACAUUAUGUAAUAUAUAUAUGAAUACUUUGAUGGUAUAUUUGAAUUUAUAUUUAGAUUUUAAUUUUAUAUGCUUCUAAAUAUGGUAGGAAGAAAAAACUAUUAUGGGUUUUAAGUUUUCGAGUUCGAAAUUGGAUUUUGGAUUUUUGAUCAAAUUCAGUUUUGAACAACAAUUUUCAAAAUCCUUCCGGUUUGAAUUCGGAUUCAAAUUUGAUUAUUGAUUUUGAAUUCAAAUUUUUAAAAAUUCGUCCCGAAUCUGUCCUGUUGACAUCUCUAGUAAAAAAAACAUGCGCACGCGCACACACACAUUUAGUACUAAUUCUCCUCAAAAAAAAAACAAGGGGGAAAGGAAAAGGCAAUGCAUGCAAAGGGGCCAAAGACAAGAAGAACACAUACAAAAGCAUAUUUAAUUGAACAUAAGUCCUAGUAAUCUAGGCCUUAUCUAGCUAACAACAAGGUUAAUAUUUUACACAUUUAACAACAAGGUUAAUAUUUUACACAUUUAUUUCCUUUUCAUUAGAUGGAAGGUACCAUCAUCCUUGGCUUAACAAAAGCAACAAGCAACCACCCAUUUUGGAAUCAUCACCUUGACUUGCCAUGCCCCUAAAACAACAUAACUAAUGAGUGUUGAACCUAAUAAUAAUAGAAUAAUAGAGGAAAUGACAAGCCACACACACACCCAUAUUCACAAAGAUAUUUUCAAGGUACAAAGUGGAUGGCAUUAAUAAGUAUUAGGUUGUUUUUCACUUUCGCUAUUCAGGACUUUUUUGGUUCACCUACGAUUAUAAAAUCGAAAUAAAAUUCAUUCAUUUUAAUAGUUGUUGUUUAUUUUACAUAGAUUAGAGUUCGAUUUUCAUUCCAUUUUGGAAUAGAAAUGAUCAAAUCUAACUUUGAAUUUUGAGUUGGCCUAUUCUAUAGUAAACCACUGGAACCCUCUCCCACAAGUACCUCCUCUUCCUUCAUCACUCUUUUCUUUCUAAAUCAAAAUCUAGACGUCACAUACACGGAGAAGAGAUACAGAACACGAUACAAUUCGAACAUGGCGAUUCAAUAGUUUCCAAAAUUAGGAUACGGAUAUAGAGAUAAUAUGAAUAUCGCUAAUAAACUAUAAAAUUAUUAAUAUAAAUAUAUAUAUAUUAUAUUUAAAAUAUUAAUUUUACUAAAAUACUUUUAUAUUUCUCGUAUGAAUUAAAGUUAAUAACAUUCUCAUUGAUAAUUUAUACAAUUUUAGAAAAGAAAUUCUUUACUAUACAUAAUUUAUUUAUAUUGUUCAAAAAAAUUUUAUAUCCAUUUAUUAAAAAUUUAAAAUGUUUAUUAUCUUACAUUGUAUAUGCAUAAAAAAGUAAUAUAUAUAUAUAACAUGGUGCUUGUAAAAGCACCAAGUACUUGGUGCUUUUAAAUUUUUUACCGUUAGAUCUACAUUUUUUAUCAUUUUCAACCGUUAGGUUAUACUAUUCAACCAACCACAUACUCAACCCUAGAGAGUCCACAUCAUCCUAACCGCACAUCUCUUAAUCUAAUGGCCAAAAAUCUACAAGCACCAAUAACUUGAUACUUUUAAAUACUAAAAUAAGUCCGGAUAUUACAUUAUUCCAUAUCUCAAUAUAUAUCCAAUUUGUAACGCAAAAAAUAUAUAAAAGUUUAGAUAAAACGAUAUCUCCUGUAUUGCUAGUACUAUCAAAAUUGUGCAUGAUAGUAAUUUAUAUGAUUUUUAUUACAUUACUAAUCAAUAACUUUAUCUGCAAAUUUAUUUUUAUAAAAUUUCAUAAUUGAAUUCAAUAAUUAUCCAAAUAGCUUGACCAAUUUGAAAUAAUGAUAAAGUGCAGAGAGAUAAUUGAUAUAUUUUUUUUAUAAAGAAAAGUAAUUGAGAUAAGCACUAAAGUGUUAAGAAGACUUUUUAUAAUUUAGCUUAAAUGGAAAGGCAGGUGUUCUUUGGAAUAUACCUGACCAGUUAGCAGGUAUAUAUAUAGGGUAGAAUUAAUUAUGGCUAGAUGUUAGGCUGAUCACAUUAGGGUUAGCAAUUUAGCCCGUUAUUCGCGAGCUAGCCCAUGUUCGGCUCGAAAUAAUCUCGAGAUUGAUCGCUCAUUUUAAUAAACGAGCUAAAGAAGAGCUGAAAAUCUUAAUGAGCUCGCUCGUGUUCGUCUCUCUCUCUCCCCCUCUCUCUCUAUGUAUAUAUAUUUGGAUGAUAGGCCAACCCAAAUGUACAAAAACCUAUAUUUUAUAAAUUUUAAUUAUUAGAUUAAAAUUCUAAUUUUCUUUCAAACUUUUCACCCAAUAGUAGAUCUGACGAUCUAGUUAAUUUGCUGUUGUGAGCCGGUUCAUGUUCGGCUCGUUAAUAAACAAGCAGAACACGAGCUGAAUUUUUCAGCUCGAUAUUUUACCAAGUCAACUCGUGUUCGGCAUUGUUUGAUAAACGAACGAACACAAGCCGGCCCAACUCACUCGUAUUCAGCUCGUUGACUGUCCUAGUUAACAUAUUAAAGAUCUUCUACUAAUUAUCUUCUGCUCAGGCACAAUUAUUAAGUCUAACCUAUCCAACAUUAUAUACCGCAAUAUCUAAUCACAGCUAUUAAAUAUAGAACUAUUCCCAAGCCUUUGGAAUGUCACAAUAAUGAUAGGUAUUUAGUCAAAUAUGCACUAAUGAAUAAUGUGGGGUUUAGUUCAUCCUAUAAUUAUCCAAAACAUAAUUGGCCCCACUUUAGGUUGUAAUGCUAUUUUUUAGGAGAAAUAUUAUAUCAAAGUACUACUUAUUUAUAGAUUUGUUCUACAGCAAAAUUAGAAAUAUUGAAGUAAAAUUAUGAUGCUGAGAUUUGAAAUAUUAUUAUUAUUAUUAUUAUUAUUAUUAUUAUUAUUAUUUUACUUUCUGCUUAAAAACUACAUUUUGUACCAAAUAAUCAGAGGGGGAUAAUAUCUAAUAUAUCCUUCAAAACUUCAAAAUUUUUUUACUUAUCUCGGGAGUACUAAAAUAACCUUAUUGAUUUUAAAAAUUUCUGCAAAUAUUUCUAUUUUUUCUACGGUUUACUAAUGAGAUUGAAUUUUAAAAAAAUAUUUUGAUAAUUUCAGAAUAAAUUUAAAAAUUUUAAAUAGUAGUAAGGAAGAUGUAGUAUCUCUCGAGUUUUGCAGGUGUGAGAUCUCAGCAUCUGAGACUUGUCGACACAUCUGGAGAGUGUCGGAACAAGUCUAAGUCGUUUUGGCACAAAAUAGACGCAAAACGGACUCAGUGUGAUGCCAGAGCAGAAUUUUGGCACUGAAAUCUGUAAAUUACAGAUUGUCAGCAUUGAGUACCGGUACCCCUGUAUAGAAUUUUUUAUUGCUGUUCUUGGGUUGCGAAGGCUGAUACGGUGUACUGGUACGACAUCGGUUUGCUAUCAAUACUCCAGGGUAGGUGAGGGGCCUUUUGGUCUUUUGAUGCACCGUUCAAACCAAGGCUUCCUCAGCCUUUUUAUACGUACAGAGAGCAUGGAGGAGGGGUUUGGCUGGCUGUUUCCUCUCUUUCUCUAGAUUUUGAUCGUGGUGGAGGUGGUGUUCGUGGCUCGAGCUCGGUUCGACGUCGACGGUUGUGCCGGGGAGUCGUUCGAGCGUACGAGUGUCGUGGUAGCACCGUUGGAGGCCGGGCGAGCACGUGUUUCUUCUUCUUCCGAGUUCUCGCCGUCGUGGAUUAGCGUUUCGAGGUGGGUUGAUGUUACCGGAAUUUUCAAAUUUCCUCCUAAGCCUAAUUGUUGUCGGCAUGUGUUUGGCUUCGUAGAGCAUGUUUAGUAGCUCGAUUCGUCGAUUUGCAUUGUUCUUAAAUGAAAUCUGAAUUGGAGCUUAGAGUGCUAGUUUUAUUAUACAUGUUGAACUUGGAUUUGACUUAGGAGAAAACUAUAGGUUCUACAUUGUCAUUUUUUAAAAACUAACAGAUUUAGCUUUAGGAGCUGUAGUUAGUUUGUAUCGCCGCAAUUUGUACGCGGUGGAUAUAAAGAAUUAUGUAGAAUGAAAUUACGCUCUUGCUGGGGUGCCGAAUUUAUUUUUACAGUAGUGUAUAUACUGUUCCGGGCUGUCAGGUGCCGUCGCGGUUGAUGGUUGAUCUAGAUUUCAGUAUUUUUCAUCAGAUUGUGCCGAGGGCACGCGAGUUAUGGUUGUUAGACCAGUUAGACCCUUCUUCUUUGACUAUAGCCUGUGAGAGCCUGAUUGAGCUCAGGAGAGAUACGCUUGCAUACUCGGUUGGGUAGCGCCCACGAGUGCCACUCCGGAGUCGGGCUUUGUGCUUUUGCGUUGUUGUCGGUUUGUCUUGUUUGGACUUGCUCUCCAUUGACGACCCAGUGUGUUGAUAGUAGUGUAGCUUCGACAGGCGGGACGGGUGUGUUCACAGUCCCUAAUGAGAUUGGGUCAGUGAUUGCAUUUUCUACAGAUAGUUAAUAUUGGAUCAUGAUAGUAUAGUAGCAUAUAGUUGUAGAAUUGUUUCAGCUUUCUUUACUAUCCUUGAGCAUACUUCUGUAGAGUUACUGGGUGAGCCGUUGAAGUCGGUAGCGGUACCCACUGAGGACUAUUUCGUUUUGCAGUAGUUCUCACACCCAGUUGUUGAACUCUUUUUGCAGAGUCUUCUUCUUCGGCUGCUGCUAUUGCGGAUACAGAUCAUGAAAAGGGAGUCGCGAGUUAGAUCCCUUCCCGUUUUGUUGCUGAUCUAGAGAUAUACCAGCUACAGGUAGUGUUGGUUUUUGGUUCUUGUACAUACUGAUAUUAGAUCCUCGCUGGAGCAAGUGUUAUGUAUUUGGAGACUAUGUAUGUAUAGAGAACCUGAUGUUAUUUAUACAUGUUUCAGUUUAGCAGAUCUAUACUACUAGUUGUAGUUUUGUAUGAUUACAGGUACAGAUACAGCUAUCGCUUCGUAUAUAGGGAAAAUUUCUUUGUAUAUGGCUGAUUUAUCGGCCUGCCCGGGGAAACGAAUAAUCCGGAAUAUGACAGAAGAAAUAAGCAAAAGCCUCUAAUCUGAGAUACCCUGCAAUUGUUAAAACAGAAGUCAUAUCAAAUUUAAAUAAGACGAUUCCACAUUAUUAAGUGUAGAAAAAAAAAUAUUUUUUUUCUAUGUUCUUUCUUAAGCUUAAAGGUAUAGAAAAUAUACAUAAAUAGAAAAGAAAGAUAGGAGUCUAUUUUUUAAUCCAACUAUAUUAAAACUUUGGGUUUUAAUUAAAUUAAAGCAAGAUCAUCNUAUAUAUAUAUAUAUAUAUAUAUAUAUAUAUAUAUAUAUAUAUAUAUAUAUAUAUAUAUAUAUAUAUAUAUAUAUAUAUAUAUAUAUAUAUAUAAUGAGAUAUGCCAUAAAUUCGUGUCAAAUGCACGUUGACGUGUUCCCAUCGGACACGAGUGUGACACGAACACCCACAUGUCCGACAUGAACAUACAAGGUUUAUAGAAGUACCCAUAAUACAUAAACAAAAAUUCUCUAUCCAAACCCUAGAUGUCUAUCAUGAUAUCUAUUCUAAUAAGGAAUCAAAUAUUUUUAGAUGAUUCGUCAUUCCAUUUUUCAUUCUAAUAUAAUCCGAUUCCAUCUCCUAUUUCUAUUUCAAUAAUAAACCAAACAUGCCCUUAGAACUAUCUUAGGCUUUUCCUUUGCUUGGAAGAUCGAAUGCAAGAUGGAGUAAUGAAAGUGCAAGAUGUGGCAAGAUGGUAUUAAAUUGAAGGCUAACGUCCGGUCUCAAUUACUCUCCUGUAUUAAAAAUUAUAUCAAUUAUCACUUUGCACUUUGUCAUCAUCUCAAAUAGAUUCAAAAAUUAUAAAGAGUAGCAAGUUAGGCAGCAAAACUUUACUAAAAUAAGUCGGGAUAUUACAUUAUUCCAUAUCUCAAUAAUCCAAUUUGUAACGCAAAAAAUAUAUAAAAGUUUAGAUAAAACGAUAUCUCCUGUAUUGCUAGUACUAUCAAAACUGUGCAUGAUAGUAAUUUUUAUGAUUUUUAUUACAUUACUAAUCAAUAAUUUUGUCUGUAAAUUUAUUUUUAUAUAAUUUUAUAGUUGAAAAUUCAACAAUUAUCUAAAUAGCUUGACCAAUUUGAAAUAAUGAUAAAGUGCAGAGAGAUAAUUGAUGUAAUAUUUUAUGAAGAAAAGUAAUUGAGAUAAGCACUAAAGUGCAAGAAGACAUUUUAUAAUUUAGCUUAAAUGGAAAGGCAGGUGUUCUUUGGAAUAUACCUGAUCAGUUAGCAGGUAUGUAUAUAGGGUAGAAUUAAUUAUGGCUAGAUGUUAGGCUGAUCACAUUAGGGUUGGCAAUUUAGCCCGUUAUUCGCGAGCUAGCCCAUGUUCGGCUCGAAAUAAUCUCGAGAUUGAUCGCUCAUUUUAAUAAACGAGCUAAAGAAGAGCUGAAAAUCUUAAUGAGCUCGCUCGUGUUCGUCUCUCUCUCUCUCUCUCUCCCCCUCUCUCUCUAUGUAUAUAUAUUUGGAUGAUAGGCCAACCCAAAUGUACCAAAACCUAUAUUUUAUAAAUUUUAAUCAUUAUAUUAAAAUUCUAAUUUUCUUUCAACUUUUCACCCAAUAGUAGAUCUGAUGAUCUAGUUAAUUUGCUGUUGUGAGCUGGUUCAUGUUCAGCUUGUUAAUAAACAAGCAGAACACGAGCUGAAUUUUUCAGCUCGAUAUUUUACCAAGUCAACUCGUGUUCGGCAUUGUUUGAUAAACGAACGAACACAAGCCGGCCCAACUCACUCGUAUUCAGCUCGUUGACUGUCCUAGUUAACAUAUUAAAGAUCUUCUACUAAUUAUCUUCUGCUCAGGCACAAUUAUUAAGUCUAACCUAUCCAACAUUAUAUACCCCCAUAUCUAAUCACAGCUAUUAAAUAUAGAACUAUUCUCAAGCCUUUGGAAUGUCACAAUAAUGAUAGGUAUUUAGUCAAAUGUGCACUAAUGAAUAAUGUGGGGUUUAGUUCAUCCUAUAAUUAUCCAAAACAUAAUUGGCCCCACUUUAGGUUGUAAUGCUAUUUUUUAGGAGAAAUAUUAUAUCAAAGUACUACUUAUUUAUAGAUUUGUUCUACAGCAAAAUUAGAAAUAUUGAAGUAAAAUUAUGAUGCUGAGAUUUGAAAUAUUAUUAUUAUUAUUAUUAUUUUACUUUCGGCUUAAAAACUACAUUUUGUACCAAAUAAUCAGAGGGGGAUAAUAUCAAAUAUAUCCUUCAAAACUUCAAAAUUUUUUUAUUUAUCUUGGGAGUACUAAAAUAACCUUAUUGAUUUUAAAAAAUUUCUGCAAAUAUUUCUAUUUUUUCUACUGUUUACUGAUGAGAUUGAAUUUUAGAAAAAUAUUUUGAUAAUUUCAGAAUAAAUUUAAAAAUUUUAAAUAGUAGUAAGGAAGAUGUAGUAUCCCUGGAGUUUUGCAGGUGUGAGAUCUCAGCAUCUGAGGCUUGUCGACACAUCUGGAGAGUGUCGGAACAAGUCUGAGUCGUUUUGGCGCAAAAUAGACCCAAAACGGACUCAGUGUGAUGCCAGAGCAGAAUUUUGACACUGAAAUCUGUAAAUUACAGAUUGUCAGCAUUGAGUACCGGUACCCCGGUAUAGAAUUUCUGAUUGCUGUUCUUAGGUUGCGAAGGCUGAUACGGGGUACCGGUACGACAUCGGUUUGGUAUCAGUACUCCAGGGUAGGUAAGAGGCAUUUUGGUCUUUUGAUGCACCGUUCAAACCAAGGCUUCCUCAGCCUUUUUAUAUGUACAGAGAGCAUGGAGGAGGGGUUUGGCUGGCUGUUUCCUCUCUCUCUCUCUAGAUUUUGAUCGUGGUGGAGGUGGUGUUCGUAACUCGAGCUCGGUUCGACGUUGACGGUUGUGCCGGGGAGUCGUUCGAGCGUACGUGUGUCGUGGUAGCACCGUUGGAGGCCGGGCGAGCGCAUGUUUCUUCUUCUUCCGAGUUCUCGCUGUCGUGGAUUAGCGUUUCGAGGUGGGUUGAUGUGACCGGAAUUUUUAAAUUUCCUCCUAAGCCUAAUUGUUGUCAGUAUGUGUUUGGCUUCGUAGAGCAUGUUUAGUAGCUCGAUUCGUCGAUUUGCAUUGUUCUUAAAUGAAAUCUGAAUUGGAGCUUAGAGUGCUAGUUUUAUUAUACAUGUUGGAUUUGGAUUUGACUUAGGAGAAAACUAUAGGUUCUACAUUGUCAUUUUCUAAAAACUAACAGAUUUAGCUUUAGGAGCUGUAAUUAGUUUGUAUCGCCGCAGUUUGUACGUGGUGGAUAUAAAAAAUUAUGUAGAAUGAAAUUACGCUCGUGCUGGGGUGCCGAGUUUAUUUUUACAGUAGUGUAUAGACUGUUCCGGGUUGUAGGGUGCCGUCGCGGUUGACGGUUGAUCCAGAUUUUAGUAUUUUGCAUCAGAUUGUGCCGAGGGCACGCGAGUUAUGGUUGUCAGACCAGUUAGACCCUUCUGCUUUGACUAUAGCCUGUGAGAGCCUGAUUGAGCUCAGCAGAGAUACGCUUGCAUACUCGGUUGGGUAGCGCCCACGAGUGCCACUCCGGAGUCGGGCUUUGUGCUUUUGCGUUGUUGUCGAUUUUGUUGGCCCAGUGGCCCUAAUCAUCUAUUAGAUUUUGAUGAUAACAAAUAAUCACGAUUAUUGGACUAAUCUCUUUAUCUUGAGUCUUGUGUUUUAGAUCUCUCUAUCUUCAAAAAGGAUUCAAGAUGGGCAAUAUUCUGGCACCAAGCUUCACCUCUUGAAGCUGUGUCUGCUUCUUUUGUCAAACAGACAAACUCNGGCGGGGACGUAGGCAAAGUGCCGAACCUCGAAACAAAUUGAUCGUGUGUUUUUCGAGUUUGCAUUUCUUUUAUUUGCAUCGGUUUUUUAAUUUGCUUGAUUAUUUGGAUUUUUAUUUUAGAAACCUAAUUCACCCCCCCUCUUAGGUUGCCAUUUUGAUCCUCAGAUUUGUCUUGUUUGGACUUGCUCUCCACUGACGACCCAGCGUGUUGAUAAUAGUGUAGCUUCGACAGGCGGGACGGGUGUGUUCACAGUCCCUAAUGAGAUUGGGUCAGUGAUUGCAUUUUCUACAGAUAGUUAGUAUUGGAUUAUGAUAGUAUAGUAGCAUAUAGCUGUAGAAUUGUUCCAGUUUUCUUUACUAUUCUUGAGCAUACUUCUGUAGAGUUAGUGGGUGAGCCAUUGAGGUCGGUAGCGGUACCCACUGAGGACUAUUUCGUUUUGCAGUAGUUCUCACACCUAGUUGUUGAACUCUUUUUGCAGAGUCUUCUUCUUCGGCUGCUGCUGUUGCGGAUACAGAUCGUGAAAAGGAAGUCGCGAGUUAGAUCCCUUCCCAUUUGCUGCUGAUCUAGAGAUACACCAGCUAUAGGUAGUAUUGGUUUUUAGUUCUUAUACAUACUGAUAUUAGAUCCUCGCUGGAGCAAGUGUUAUGAAUCUGGAGACUAUGUAUGUAUAGAGAACCUGAUGUUAUUUAUACAUGUUUCAGUUUAGCAGAUCUAUACUACUAGUUGUAGUUUUGUAUGAUUACAGGUAUAGGUACAGCUAUCGCUUCGUAUACAGAAAAAAUUUCUUUGUAUAUGGCUGAUUUGUCGGCGUGCCCGGAAAAACGAAUAAUCCGGGAUAUGACAGAAGAAAUAAGCAAAAGCCUCUAAUCUGAGAUACCCUGCAAUUGUUAAAACAGAAGUCAUAUCAAAUUUAAAUAAGACGAUUCCACAUUAUUUAGUGUAGAAAAAAAAAAAAUUUCUAUGUUCUUUCUUAAGCUUAAAGGUAUAGAAAAAUGAGUAGGGCUAGAAUACUUUUACAAGUAUCACCCAAGUGAUACUUGUGUGUUUUUAGCCAUUGGAUCUACUUUUUGAUUACUAAUAGUCCUUGGAUCAAACACUAUUCUACCUACCACCACCUACCACCAUCAUCUCAACCUCACAUCUCUCCAUCCAAGGGCUAAAAACACACAAGUAUCACUUGGAUGAUACUUUUACAAGUAUUCUAGCUCUACUCUAGAAAAAUAUACAUAAAUAGAAAACAAAGAUAGGAGUCUAUUUUUUAAUCCAACUAUAUUAAAACUUUGGGUUUUAAUUAAAUUAAAGCAAGAUCAUCCUUAUCUAGCAAACUUUAUUAUGUUCACAGUAUCCAAGUACAGCAAACUUAGUAAUUAAUUGGUGACACAAUUUGGAAGCAUCCAAACCCUAGGCACAAAACAUUGAUUACUUCAAUAAAUUCACUUUGGUUCCACCACCACUACUGCAUAGUGCAGUUGUUUGGUUCUUAGGAUGAUCCCAGAUUUGUUCGAAAUUGUUAAAUAACAGAAGCUUAAGCAGAUUAAAAAAAUUUGAUAUUUUUGGACUCAAAAUUUUUUGAUAUGUUUAACGAUAUUUUUCACGUUUGGACUCAAAAUUUUUGGAUAUACACAUGAUGUGAACUUAAAUUAAAUGAGAUAAAAUUAAUUAUUUUCAGAACUUGGAGUGACUCGAAUUCGUGCUCUAAUACUAUAUUAAAUAAUGUGAAACAACUGUUAUUUUUUAAAAUUCAACAUUCCUCUGAAACAGUACAGUACAAAUUCAUCUCUUUCUCUCUGGUUCUUCAUUUUUUUUGUAGAAAAAAUUAUUUUUCUUUAUAGUUUAUUUUUUAUAUAUAUAGAGUAGGGCUACUGUGCUCUCAGGAGCACGGAGGCCUCCGUGCUCUUGAGCCGUUUUCGAUGAUGAAAUUUUCGAAUCGACGAUCGGCUCCGUUAGACUUGAUCUAGCAUAUUUGAAGUUUCUAGAAAAUAAUUUUUGCGAUUUUUCGAUAUCAUUUACCUAGCAAUCGAAAAGAUUCAAAAUCUAUAAUUUUUAACGGCUAAAAAUAAAAAUCCUAUAAAAAGUGGUGAUAUAGCACUAAAAUUUUCGAUCAGAAAUAUUGAUUUUGUUGUAGAUAGUAUAAAGAAUUUUGUAUCAAAAUUUCAUCUGAUUUGAAUACUUCUACACCGUUAAACUUAAAAACGGCAGAUAUCAACCAUUAAAAAUUAUUGAUUUUGAAUCCUUUCGAUCACUAGGUAAAUGAUAUCAAAAAAUAGCAAAAAAUAUUUUCUAGAAACUUCAAAUGCGCUAGAUCAAGUCUAACGGAGCCGAUCGUCGAUUCGAAAAUUUCAUCAUCGAAAACAGCCUCACGGUCCCGGUUGUUCCUGGAGAGCAGCAGUCAGCCUGCUAUAAGUAUUAUAUAUAUUAUAAUAUAAUUAUAGAUAUCCGGCUGGAGAUAUCUAUCGAUAGUACCGAAGGAUUUGGUGCUAUCUGAGUUUGUUCCCGCUAGAUUUUAACCCUCAUGAAUUAAUUUUAACAUCCGUUCGCAUUAUUAAACUUAUUCAACCAAACCAUCUGCACUCAACCCUAGGGGGCCCAACAGCAUUCGCUAGACUCACCUAUUUCUCAGAUCUAAGGCGAAAAAAUGCCAAUACACAUAUUGGUGCUUUUUGAUAGUACUCCAGCCCACGUUCAUAGUAUGAGUCCGGUUGGAUCUAAUCGGAUAAGUACCAAGGAUUUGGUGUUAUCGAUUUCCACCGUUAGAUUAACCAUCUGAUUAUUUUUAACCCGUUAGAAGUUAUAUUAUUCAAUCAAAUCAACCAACCACUCGGGUCACUCACCCUAUGGGGUCCGACAACAUCCUAACCGGACCUAUUUCUCAAUCUAAGGCUAAAAAAUCAAUAGCACCAAUAGCUUGGUGCUUUUAUAGUAUGUCCAACCUAGUAUAUAUAUAUUAAAUAUUAUAUAUAAUAUAGAGUGAGGUGCUACUAUGCUAUCGGAAGGCAACGGAGCAUUCCGUGCUUCCAGUCUCGUUUCGAUGUUUGCGACGUUCGAAUCGUCGAUCGCCUCCGUGUAAACUUGAUCUAGAGUAUUGAAGUAGCUAGAAAAUAAGUUUUAUGAUUUUACGAUAUCAUUUGCUAGUGAACAAGGCUCAAAUCAACAGGCUGGAAAUAAAGCUGUACAAAUGUAAUGAAUAUAAAUUAAAAAGUUUAAAUAAAUAAUAUGAGUCUGUUUUUAUAUAGUAUAAUAGAAUUUUCUAUGCAAAUUUCACGUGAUUUGGAAUAUUUCUCAAAAAACCGUUAAACUUGCAAACGGCUCACUACGGGCUAUUAAAUUUAUUGAUUUUGAGCCCAUUCGAUCAUCGAGGCAAAUGAUAUCAGAAAAAUAAUAAAAAUUUUAUUUUCCUAGGUCACCAAAUACUCUAGAUCAAGUUAAACGGAGCCGAUCGACGGAUUCGAAAGUCGCAGACAAUAGAAUCAGCCUGGAAGCACGGAAGCCCGUGCUCUCGAUAGGCAUGUAGCCUGCACUCUAUAUAAUAUAAUACUAGAUGAGAGAGAGAGAUAGGAAAAAAAUAGAGAAGAGAGAGACGGAGGAGAGAAGAGAGAGAUGAGAGAGAGAGAGAGAAGUUAGCUAGAAUACCUAGGUCGGAUAGCAAACGGGUUCCGUUGCCACCCAUUUGUUUUCGAUGAUAGAGCCUCCAAAUCGACGAUUGGCACCGUUGAACAUAAUCUAUACUACUUGAAGUGUUUAGAAAUCAAAUUUCAAAUCUUUUUGACAUCAUUUGUCUAAUGAUCAAAGGGUUUCAAAAUUUGUAAUUUUAAUUGUCGAUAUGAGGCGUUUUCUCGUUUAACGGUGUAAAGAUACUCAAAUCAAUUGAAUUUUUGUUAGAAAAUUCUUUAAACUAUUUAAAACAAGAUCUAUACUCUUGAUCUUGAUUACAAGACUCCUAUCAUCAUUUUUUAAAAAAUAUUCAUUUUCAGCCGUUCAUUUUUGUGUCCACUCGAUGGAUAAGAGAACAAUAUUGAAAAUGUAUGAAAUUUGAUUUCCAAACACUUUAAGUGGUAUAGAUCAUGUUUAACGGUGCCGAUUGUCGAUUUGGAGGCUCCAUCAUCGAAAACAAAUGGGUGGCAACGGAGCCCGUUUCCUAUCGAUAGUAUUCUAACUCAACUAUAUAUAUAUAUAUAUAUAUAUAUAUAUAUAUAUAAAGAGAGUACAUAAUAUAGUUGGUAGGUAUUCAAUUGCCACCUAAAGAGGUAGGAUGUUGGAUCUCUUAUUAGUAGACCCGUCAUUUUCUAUUUAUAUCCGCGUAUACUCAUAGAUUACUUAUAAAUUUGCAGGUAUGAAUAUUAAUUUUUCUUAUCCAAAAAAUUAUGCGUAACACGAAUGAGUAUCCGUUAAAAUUGUGGACAUUUUUUGUCUAUCCACUUAAAAAUUCUAAAUCUAACUACUCUUCUUCUUCUUUUCUUUCUGUGGCCCUCUCUCUUACCACGCCGCCUCUUUUGCCGCGCUGUUCUACCACCCUUCGGCUGCCUGCUUUACAUGUAAAAUAUCUUUACAUAUAGUUUAUGCGUUUUAAAAUUUAUAUUAUUUAUUAUAUAUUAUGAUAUUUCAAAUAAUAAAUUAUAUUAUAAUCUUUUAAAAGUUAUGUAUAUGUAAUUUGCAUUUGAAAAAUAUAAGAAUUAAAUAAAAAAAAAAGAAGAAUAUCUUACAGGUAAUCCGCAUAUCCACUCACCUGUUCACAGACGGAUAUAGAUAAAGAUACAGACUAUCUAAAAAUUUGCUUUAUAUUUAUAUAAUCUGCGAGUAAAAUAAUCCAUCUGUCAUUUAUUUAAUUCGUCUGUUUGUCGGGCCUACCUACCUACCUACCUACCUACGAGGGGGCAGACUAAAAUUGACCAUCUUAUAAUUAGCCAUUCAAACAUGGUUUCAAUGAAGAAGUUAUGUGUGAGUGGACAACUUCCCAACCCCUUUACAAUGACUCAUUUGACCCCAUUUUCAAUGCCCUCCCCAAAUUUAAUUAGGAGAGCCCUCAAAAUGAGUGAUGGAGAGAACUAUUAGGUGAUUCCCCCCUUGCCAAAGAACCCAUUUUUAACCACAACCCACCAAUAAUCAUUGUAGAGAGAGAUAAAAAAAAUAUAAGCCCAAAUAAAGAGGGGGAAGAGAGAGAAAAAGUAGGAAGAGGACAGGUGUUCAUUCUUGAUUAGGCCAUGAAGAGAGAGAGAGAGAGAGGGGAGAAGAAGAUAAGCCCAUCCUCCAUCCCUAUUUCCCAACCAAGUAACCAACCAUAUAAAUCCCCACCCCAUGAAUUAGAAUCUUUGUUCCUCUCUCUCUCUCUCUCUCUCUCUCUCUCUCUAUCCCCCCUCUCACCCAACCCCUCCCCAAAAUCCAAUUUUUAAGAAAGAGGGAGGAAGGAGACUCUCUCUCUUCUCUCUCUCUCUCUCUAAAGAGGGAGGAAGGAGAGGGAUUUGGGUGUUGAUCUCUCUCUCUCUCUCUCUUCUUCAACCCCAAAAUCCAAUUUUUAUAAGAUUGGGUGUUAAAGAGAGAGAGAGAGAGAGUGUGUGUGUGUGAGGAGAGAGAAAAUAGGAGGGAUUUGGGUGUUGGUUGUUGAGGAGGAAGAAGAUCUUUGAUGAGCUAAAAAAGCUUUUGUAAGGUUUGUGGAGGGGGUGAGGUGUGGAAGGGUCCCCCACACUUCAUAUUGUUGUUUUCCCACACUAUCAUCCCCCCUCUCUAUCUCUCUCUACUUUCUCUCUCUACAAACCUUCUCAAUUUCCUCUCACUCCUAUUAAAACCACCCCCUCCUCCAAAGCUCCCUCCUUUGUGUUGUGUUGUGUUGUGUUGUGUUGUGUUAGGUUACACCCACUCCCAUCCACCCAUUUCCCAAACUAAGAUUUUGUUGGUGGUUUUUAGUUGCAACACCACCAUCCUCUUUGAUGUGAGAGAAAAAAAAAGGGGACCCAAAAACCCAAACCCAAUUCUUAGGAUUAUUAAUUAAUCCAUUAAAGUUCAAAAUCCUGAGAUUUCUUUUUUUUUUCUUAUUAUUUAUCCAAAAAAAAAAUUGGAAUUUUUGCAUCUGAUUGGUGUUUUUUUUUUUUUUUUUNAGUAAACCCUAAACUUUCGAAAACUUCGUUUACUUUUCUUUUCUUAUAGUGAAUCAACCCCUUGGCCUAGGGUUGAGCUAGUAUUAAAGAAGAAGAAGAAAAAAAAAAAAAUCAAAAAAAAAAUCAAAACCUCCAAUUUUUGAUGAUCUUCUUACUUGUUCCAUUCGUGUCCUCCUUCUUGCUCCUCCUCCUCUCAAAAUCCCUGUCUGUCCAGUCCCUGCCCUCAUGGGCAGCUGACAUGAGACUGCUGUCUUCCCUCCUGCUCCGCGAUCUCGGCCUUCAGCUGCUCUGCUUCCUGCAAGACUGCACUCUUGCCGGCGCCGCCGCCGUCAGAAUUCGAUCCCCCGCGAUGCCGUCCCCCAGGAAGAAACUGCAAUCGCGGCCCGACGGCGGCAGAGGGGGCGGCGAAUCGGGCGGUCCGUCGAUCCUCGAUUUGCCCGAGCUGGCCCUCGAAUUGGUUCUCGGGAAGCUGCCGCCCCCCGCGCUCUGCAACGCGGCCGCCGUGUGCGCCGAGCUUCGCGACCGGUGCCGGAGCGAUCACCUGUGGGAGAGGCAUGUGAGGGAGAAGUGGGGGCGGGUGAUCGGCGACGCUGCCCGCCGCGAGUGGCAGCUGCACUUGGCCUCGAAAUCGGCCCAACCGAAGGCAGGUGGCGGGGGCGGCGGCGGCAGCAUCGGCAUCGGCGGCGGCGGGAGGUCGAGGCGGUGGAUCGCCGCGCUCUCCUGCGUCUGGCCGUUAUCCUGGAUUAGGUCUAGUGCCGAUCGCAGCUGCGGCGGCAACAAGCCGAAAAGAAGCGGCCCCUUGCCGGACAAUUCGAUCAUGGCGUGGUACAUGUCGAUGGAGACCGGCAUGUUCUGGUUCCCUGCUCAGGUCUACAACCGCGAGGUAUGCGAAUUCAAGGUCGAAUUCGCAAAGAUCGUGCGAUCAUGUGUUGUGUUCGACGAAAUGCCACUAAAAGAGUUUUCGAUUCUGAUUGUUGUGUUUUGUUUGCAGCAUGGGCAUGUCGGGUUCAUCUUGUCGUGCUACGACGCCGAAGUGAGCUACGAUUGCCGCAGCGACACCUUCCAUGCGAGGUAUGUGUAAUACCGCGGCGUAAUUGAAUGCUUAGGUUUUGCUCUUUCGUUUUUUCCGGCGAUCCGCGGCGAAUUCUAGGUCAAAAUAGGUUUCCUAUGUAUGACAAGAAGAGAGAUAGGGGAGGUUGGGAUGCUUCUACUCUUAUUUUCUUGCAAUUCAUCUUGGUUAGGAUAGACUCAUGAUGCGAAUAUGGAUGUCAAAAUUUAGCAUUCGACACGUAUUCGUAUCCGAAUUCGCAUUUGAAAUUGGUUUCUUCAAAAAUCCGACUGUAUUCAACCGUUCUCACUCUUAACAGAUAAGAGGGAUGUAAAUAUAUAUUGUAGGGGGAUUGCAGGGGGAUAAAAUGGUUUUCGAUUGUGCUUUUUGUUUAUUUUACUAUGAAUUUUGUAUUAAAAUUAUGUUUAUAUUUGGUAAGAUAUUAAAUUUUAUUGAGUGAAAUCUAAGAAUACGAAGUUUGAACACGAGUAUGGAUCUUUAAUUGCAUUCAUUGUGUUUCAUGUUAUUAUUAUCCGAAUAAUAUCCAAAUACAAAUCCGAGUUUUAUCUGAAUUCGAAUCCGUUUUAAACGGAUAUGGUAACAAAAAUUUAGCAACCGACACAUAUCAUCAUCCGAAGAAAAAUAUGGAUGGAAUAUGGUUUUGUUAAAAAUCUGACCGUAUUCGACCAUUUUCACCCCUAAUGCUACCCCGGUAAAAUCCGAAUACGGGUACUUUAGUCUCGAAGAAAUGAAACUCAAUCGAAGAGUGGCAUUUUUGGUAAGCGCGAUGACGACGACAUGUUUAGGUCUUAUGUAAUAAUUCAGUUUUCGACAAUGUUAUAUAGAUAAAUAUAUGAUAUUACAGCAUCUCAUUUGAGAGUCUGCUAUUGCUGUUGCUCAUCUUUAAGCGCAAUCUCAACCGACAGGUACCCGCCGCACGGGCGUCGGACCAUCGUCAUCGAAGAGGGAGUUCAAUGGGAUAGGCUACGGCCGCCCCCCGUCGACACUCCCGCACACGACCUCCACAUCUCGGACUGCUUGAAUGAUCUCCGCCCGGGCGACCACAUUGAGAUUCAAUGGAGAAGGAACAAGGAGUUCCCCUACGGUGCGCGUUUUUGCGUAACAUCUCCUUUUAGCUCGAACUUUCAAAAAUAGUUCAGUGAUAAUUAUUCGACUUAAUCGGCAUUUUUUUUUUUUGUUUUGGGCAGGAUGGUGGUAUGGAGUUGUAGGUCACUUAGAGUCGUGCGACGGGAACGAGCAUUUCUGUCGCUGCCAUCUCAGCGGUGAGUGUCGCACCUCUGACUUGUUGUCGCUUUUAAAUUUUUCCCUUCUCUGGCUUAACAUAAAAACUGGACCUAGUAUUGAAAAUGUUAGUAUCUGAUUCAGAAACACUUUUUCCUCCCGCGUGUUUGAAGUUUUGUUUGCGACUCUGAAAAAACUGAAAACUGAAAACUGAAAACUGAAAAAUGAAAAAUGAAAAACUGAAUCCCUCGUUUUGGUUACACUCCAAUUCUCUUGAUUCUUAACCCUCAAUUUUACGUCACUGGAAUGCACCAGCGACGGCGCAAUAAAUGAAAACAAACAAGAAUUAGAACGAUGACCGACCAAGGCCAAAACGAAACUUCAGCCCAAACUAAAACUGAUGCUAGUUCUGAUAAAUUUUUGCGGUUCGUGAACUCUGCUUAUUUUUUUUCUCAGAUACGGUCGCGUUGGAGUUCAAUCACUACACACCUGGCUCGCGAUGGAGGCGGGCGUCGGUCAAUCGAAAGGAUCACCGCGAAGGCAACGAAACUGACGGGUUCUACGGCGGCAUCAGGAAACUGCACUGCAAGGCCGAGAUCUCAAAGUGGAGGCAACUUUGGCCGACCGAUAUCUUGGAAUAGAUAAAACAUUGCGUCGAAUCUCUUCAGCGAAUACAUCACGAUAUCGCUCUUCGAUCUCAACACAAAAGUUAAAAAGAUUUAGUAUCUAACUAUGAUCUGAGCAUCAAUGUAUGCCAUGUUGUUAUUUCUCACUCUCUUUCUCUCUCUUCUUUUUUCUUUUUUUUUUUCCUUUUUUUAUAUUUUGGCUGAUUGGGGGGGAGGGUUGUUUAUACAACUCCAGGAACAGGAAUUAUCCACUAUUGUAUUGUUAGAACAGAUUAAAAGCAAAUGUAAAUUACACAAUUAGCUUCUAUUUGAAGAGUAUUUUAGGAGUUCAUCUGAAUAAUGUUCUGAUUAUCUGAUCUGUAAAAAAUUUGCUGCUUUGGAUUUUGUUUUUUUUUGAGAUUUUUUCUGCAACUGUAAUGUUUUGAACUUCCUUUGAUGUAUUAUAAGAUUAAAUUGCGGUUUAAGUAGAGCUGUUUGAAGAAGAACAAACUGUAGAGUUUGCGAUAGAAGCUCCUAAUUUUAGAUUCUUCUUUCGCAUUUUAGAUUCUCAAGUCACAGCAGGAGCUCUAAACUUCUACAGUUUAAAAUAGAUGAAUAAUGAAUUGUUUCGGAAGUUAACUUGUAGUCUUGAAGAUCAUCAUUACUGUCUUCUAAUAAAUUUUUUCAAUAAAAAAAAAAAUCUCUCUAAUGAUUUCGCGCUGCGAAUAAGGUUGGCAAUAAAUUGGAGCUUCGGUUUCUGAGACGUAUAAGCUCAUUUCUAGUUUUCUGUCGCAGCAAAAGUUCAAAAGUUUUUUUUUUUUUUUUGCCAAAGUGAAAAAGCUAUUUACAUUCGAAUCAAAUCCUUAUAUAAUUACUCGUGCGAUUUUUUAACCGUCAGAUUAUCUUAAGAUUCGUGCAGUAUUAAUAAGGGAGACUUAGUAGGACACAUCGUCAAUAGUACUGUAUAAAUCUUGAGGGCGAUCCGACGGCUAAACAGUCAUAAGCAUAAAUGCUCUUGUGUUUUCAAAAGUACAGGAGCUCAACUCGUAGUUUUAGUAUCUUUUUAAGUUUCUUGUGACAAGUUAUGAAUAUGUAAGGCGUGGAUGAUAACCUUAUAAAACUCCUACAACUCUACAAGGUACAUUUAAUUUUAAGUGGAAAUAUUAACCUUUUUUAGGGAUAAUUUUUUUUAAUAUUCUUCUGGAAGGUUGUGAUUUCAUAAAAUGUCCCUUCAGAGUUCAAAAUAUCAUCAAUACUCUCAUAAACAUUAUAAUUCAUGCGAAUUUAAUAGAUCAGUUCUGAAAUUUCAUUUUUCACCUGUAGUAAACUUAAAGCUUAGCAAAAUUAGCACCAAGAAAGCAAUUUCCAUAAUUUCAACACAUUUUUUAAAGCUAAAUAACUAAUAAAUAAAAGCAAUAGAUCACACAUUUAAUGAGAAAUUUAAAAAAAUAAAGCCAUAACUUGUAAAGUUAAAAUCUAUGUCCUACAAAAAAUAACAGUAUGUAUUAAUAUUAAUAUUUUGCUUUACAAGAAAUAGUUGAGAGUAAAAUUGUCAUUUCAUUAACUUAAUGAGUAUUUAGUAUAUAUGCUUGAAUUGGUACUUGUGAUAAAUUCAUAUAUUUAGAGGGGUAUAUGUUUUGAAGGGGCAUCUAUGAAAUUUUGAAAUUCAGAGAGCAAUGUUGGAAAUUGCUUUUUUUUAAAAAAAUUAACUAGCCCUUUCAAGGGUGCAUAUGCAUAGAAUCAAAUAUGAAAUCUCUUAGCUUCGUUUGGUUUGGAGUUAAGUAAAAACUAGUUAUUUCAAGAAUACGGUUAAGUUCAGGAUUAAGCCUGGAAUAGAUUAAUUUUGCUUUCGGAUUAUAAUUGAGUUGUUUCCGGAAUUAAGAAAAAUAGUGUUUGGACAGAUAAUAUAGAAUAAGAAGAAUAGUGGGUAGAGUUAUAAAUAGAAAAUAAUGAUAUUGCCCUAAUUAUUAUAUUUUAAUUUAAAUUUAAAAUUUAAAUAAUUAAAAAUAAUAAUUUAAAAUUUAAAAUUUAAAAUAAAAAUUUUUAUUUUUAAAUCUCAAAUUUAAAAUUUAAGUUAUAACUUUUAAAUUUUAAAUUUUAAAUCAACUCUCAAGUUACAAAUAUAAAAUGUUAAAUUUAAAUAAUUAAAAUAAUAUUUAAAAUUUAAAAUUUAAAAUUUAAAUCUAAAUAUUAAUUUAAAAUUUAUAAUUUAAAAUCUAAAUGUUAAUUUUAAUUUUAAAAUUUUAAAAUUUAAAAUUUAUAAUUUAUAAUUUAUAAUUUAAAUUAUAUAUUUAAAAAUUAAAUAGGGUGGGAUUAGCUAAUCAAUUUGGCCGCACUUAGGGCUAGCAAUCAGCUCGUUGUACGCGCAGGCGUCCAUAUUUAACUUGAAAUGAGCAUCACGAUCGAUCGCGCAUUUAAUGAACGAGCAGAAAAAGCUGAAUUUUUCAACUCGAAAUCUUAACAAGCCCAACACGAGCUGCGGAUUAGUUCAUUUGCAUUCAGCUCAAUAUAGUUCGAAUACACUCACAGAUAAAUAAAUAAAUAAAUAAAUAAAUAUAUAUAUAUAUAUAUAUAUAUAUUAUAUAUAUAUAUAUAUAUAUAUAUAUAUAUAUAUAUAUAUAUAUUUAAUUUUUUACUAUUUGAAUUUAGGCCAAUCAAAAUGUAAUGGGGCUUAUAUUUUGUAAAAUUUUAUUAUUAGAUUAGGUUUUUAAUUUUUUAACUUUCUUUCAACUUUUUCGUGGAUAGUAGGACUGGCAAUCUAACUUACUGUUCCUAAGACAGCUCGUGUUCGGCUCUUUAAUAUACAAGAAGAACACGAGCUGAAUGUUUUAGCUUGAUAUUUUAAUAAGUCAGCUCAUGUAUGGCUUAUUUAAUAAACAAACGAAUAUGAGCCGUCCCCAGCUCGCUUGUGUUCAGCUUGUUAACAAUAGCCCUAGUCGCACUAUGGUGAUGUAAUAAAGAGGUGCUAACGGGCUGGAUCGAGUUGGAUCUAAAUGGACCCGAUUCGGUCCAAGAUUUUAAAAUCCAAUCCAAUCAAGUUUAGAGGUCUACAUCUUGGGAGCAAUAUUGGGUCGGAUUUUAAAACAUUUCUAAGCAACUUGCCCCGGCCCGGCCCGGCCCGACCUAGCCUGGCACUUUGACAAUUGUAGUAGUAAUAAUAAGAAAACACUUCAAAUGCCACCUGGAGUUUCGCAUUUUCUCAUCUUAGUACUCUGUGAUUUAAAAUGUAUCACUUUCAUACCCUGUAUUUUUUUUGUUCUUUUUGUUAUCCACUUCACUAUUUUUUUUUUGUUAAAUCAGUGACAAAGUUAAAACUGAAGGUUACUAAAGUGAAUAUUCGAUAAACCAUUAGUAGGUAUCCUAAUUUUUUUGUAUAUAAUUUAACGAAAAGUUAACGAAGGGACUGACGAAAAGAGAAAAAUGAAAUCAUAGGGUACUAAAUUGAUAUACUUUAAAAUGCAGAGUACUAAGUGCGAAAGUACGAAACCACGAGGGUGAUAUUUGAAGUUUACCCUAAUAAUAAUAAUAGUAAUAAUAAUAUAUAAUAAUGUAGAUAAUUUUUCAGCACCUAUACCUUUUCUUUCAACUCAGGGACAGUGUUUUGUUUCAUAAAAUAGUUUUUUGGUUGAAAAAAUAUUUUUUACUAUGUAUCACAGACACUUCUAUAAGCCUCACGUUUCUGUAUCAGACACGCUUGUAUCUAAUGUGGGCACUCCUUGGACGUGCGUUCAAUACCGCUCUAAAGUGCAUACAAUUAAUAUAUAUAUAUAUAUAUAUAUAUAUAUAUAUAUAUAUAUAUAUAUAUAUAUAUAUAUAUAUNUUCACAUUUUUAUGCAUAUAUAAUAUAAAAUGGCAAAUAUUUUAGCUUUUUUAUAAAGGCAUACACAUUUUCUUGGACAAUAUAAAUAAAUUAUGAAUAGUGGAGAAUUUCUUUUCUUAAAAUAAAUGAACUAUCAAUAAAAAUUUUACUAACUUUCAAUCAUACGAGAAAUAUAAUAAUAUUUUACCAAAAUUAAUAUUUUACAAGUAAUAAAUAUAUAUUAUUAUAUUAAUAAUAUUAUAUUUUAUUAGUGGUGUCUAUAUCGUAUUCGUGUCCUAAUUUUUUAAAAACUACUGAGUCCCCGUGUGUCCUAAUCGUGUUCUGUCCUAUGUCAGUAUCCAUAACGCUUAUAUCUUCUAUCUAUUUGAUUCCUAAAAAAAUAGUUUUUCAAAAAAAUUUUCUUCAGAUUUGUGGAAAAAUAGUUUUUUUUUUGAAAUUUUAAUCUGAAAAAUGAAAAUAGUUGAUAAGAGUGUUUUGCAUAGAAAAAAAUGUAUUUGUCUAAAUAACAGAUGAAAAUGUUUAUUAAAGUUUUUACUAUAGCAAGGAUUUAAGAUGAAUUAACUCAUGGGAUCAAUUAGCAAACAAAAGAAUUAGCUAGAAUAGUUCUACCAAGGACUUUUAUUUAAAAAUGACCCUUAAAAAAAAUUAUAAUUGGCUAAAUGACCCUUCUAAAAUUUUAUUUAGCCAACUAAAUCGCUGCUUGCCAGCUCAUCACUAUAUUGGACAAAAAUGAGAAAGACGGUAAAUUAUUCAUCGUCUUUAGAAAGCACUGAAUUAUUCCCCGUUUUCAGAUUGUUAUUAUUGUUUAUAAUUUUUUAUUUUUUUUUUGUAUGGAUUGUGAGGAUCCUUAUGAAGUUGAUUAGGAAUGUAUGCAGAUUAUUAAAAUUUUUAUUUAAUUGUUGAAAUUUUUUUAGCUGUUGCGAUUGUAUGUGAAUUGCUGAAAUUUUUAUGUGGUUGAAAGAAUUCUAUAUAAAAAAUAGAAAGAAACAGUAAAGUAUUUAUCAAUUUUCUUUUGUAAAAAAAGCCAGAUAGUAAAUAAUUUAUUGUUUUUUUUUCAUUAAAGAUGUCGGGCGAUUAACAGUUUUUGAUUGGACAGUAUAUGAUUAUUCGUCCAAAUAAAAUUUUGAUAAAAUUAUUUGACAAAUAAUAAAUUUUUUAAUAAUUUAACCUUACUCUAUUUCCAAGUUGACACUCAUAAUGAGAUUUGAAUUAAACGGUAAAUUAUACAAUUCGCCCCCAAACUUCUACCAAAAUUUAUCUCUGUCCCUACUAUUUUAAAGUGAAUUUAAUAAAUUCUAAACCUUUCAUAAAUAUACCAAAUUGGCUCGUUUUGUCAUUUGUCGUUAAAACUAUUAAUAAAAAAAAUAACAUAAAUAUUAAAUAAAUAUUUUGUUUUUGAAGCCAAAUAUGCAACCAAAAUGCAAAUCAAAGCCUCAUCAUUUUACCACGCUAGUUGUGAGACCCCAGAUAGUCCUAUAUAUGAGAUAUAAUAGGGCUAAACUCUUAACCCGGUUUAAGCAUUUUGGGUGGUGGCAAGGCCCAAGAGGUUAAGAGAGUUAAGCGUGCUGGGACGGGAGUAGUCCUAGGAUGGGUGACCCCCUGGGAAGUUGGGGCGUCACAGAUGGUAUCAGAGCCAAUUACCAGUCGGAAGUGUGAGAUGACUCUCGGCUGAACCAGGGUCUGGAUGACGGGCUAGCGAGAUGAGUCUCACAUCGCCUGGUACUUGUGAGUCUGAGCCUGACGAGGACGUCAGGGCUUAAAGGAGGGGAGAUUGUGAGACCCCAGAUAGUCCUAUAUAUGAGAUAUAAUAGGGCUAAACUCUUAACCCGGCUUAAGCAUUUUGGGUGGUGGCAAGGCCCAAGAGGUUAAGAGAGUUAAGCGUGCUGGGACGGGAGUAGUCCUAGGAUGGGUGACCCCCUGGGAAGUUGGGGCGUCACACUAGUAGUUCAACUUCUCUUUUUAGGUAGGUUAAAUUAUACUUUGGUCCUCAAACCAUGUAGCGCGUAGCAUUUUAGUCCUGCAACUUUAAUUCAUUGUAAUUUCUGACUCGAAUUAUAAGACGCGUGUAGGGGUGAAAACGGAUCAUAUAUUAUCCACAAAUAUUCGUAUUUGUAUUCAAUAAUAUCCGGAUUUGAAUAAAAAAUAUUCGGAUCUGGUCGGAUACAGACGGAUAUGGUUUUAGAAAGUUAAAUUUUUUCUGAUAUCCGAAAAAAAAGGAUAUGGAUAUAGAUAUCUAGAAUUUUAGUAUUAUUAUUUUUAUAUUCUUUAUAUUUUUGGAUUCAUCCGGCCCAAUUUUGCUCGUUUGGUCCGCCCAAAUUUCUUUCCUCUAAUUCAUUGCCAACCAGGGCACUGGAGGUGAUUUUUCAUAUUAUUCGUUUAUUUUAUAAUCAAUUGUAUAUUAAAAUCAUAUAUUUUAUAUAUGAAGAAGUAUAGUUAGGGAACAAAGUAGAAAAAUAAAGUAAAUUUUUUGUAUAUGUGCAUAUAUAUUAUACAUAUCCAACCCACAUUCGAAUCCGAAAAAUAUCUGACCAUAUUCCAAUCUAUAUUUAGCGGAUGUGGUAAUAAAAAUUUAGCAUAUGACGUAUAUCCGUAUCCAAAAAAAAUCGUAUAGAUGCGAAUAUAAUUUCGUCAAAUAUCUGGCCGUAUGCAAUCCGUUUUCACCUCUGGAAGUGUGACACAAACUUUAAAACUUUUAUCUUUCUCUCCUCACUUUCUCUCUCUUCACUCUCUUUCUCAUCUCUUUUUUCGCUUUAUUUUUUCUUCAUUGUCUCUCUCCUCACCCCUUUCUCUUCACUUUCUCUCAUUUCUUUCAUUUUACUCAUUUUCGCUCUCGUCCUUUUCUCCCUCUCUCCUAGUUUCUUGACGGAGAAUGUCUAAAUGCAACAACUUGAAAUAUUGUGACACAUAGGAUACUUUGACAUUUGGUGAUAUUUUCUAAGUGAGAACCAUUGGUCGAGUCGAGAAUUCGGGUACUGGAUGAGGUAGAUGCUUUAUUUUGAACUCGGUAAAGUUGUAUUUUAUUCAGUAUUCUCUAAACUCAUUCUAUUCCUGUAACACCCAAAAUAGUCCCACAUAGGAUGGAAAUGGGGCUAUAAUUGAGUACAUAAGAGAUCAUAGACACUAACUAAUAAUCGGGCUUAAACAUUUUGAGUCGAUAAUUUAGACCCGAUGAGUUAUUAUUGUUAGCAGGUUGAGCUGUUACAUGUUGAGGGCCUUUCAAGAAGUGUAUAUGCAAAUAAUCAAAUUUAAAAUUUCUUAAUCCGCUAUCAGGGUAUUAUCUAAUUGCACUAGACAGCGGUGCUAGGUGAAACUAUUCAAUUUGGCCGUACUUAGGGCUGGCAAUCCAAGAUUUUAGUCCUGAAACUUUAAUUCAUUGUAAUUUCUAACUCGUAUUAUGAGACGUGUCACACAGACUUUAAAAUUUUCAUCUCUCUCUUUUCUCACUUUCUGUCAUUUCUUUCAUUUUUUCUUAUUUUCUCUCUCAUCUUUUUCUCUCUUCUCUCUCAACUAAAAACUUUAUAUGGGACUAACAUUUACUCUAUAUGAGAUAUUUCAAGACAAAUACAAUAUUUAACCCCCAACUUUUUUUCAAUCCCCCAACUUUAGGAGUUUGUGUGCAAUUUUAUUCUUUUGUAGGGACACACAUGCAACUAUCCCUACUCCUAUUUAUAUACUAUUUUCCCCUUUUAUUUUACCAUUUCCUCGUAUGACUCCAUUUCCCACCUCUCUCUCUCUCUCUCUCUCUCUCUCUCUCUCUCUCUCUCGCUUUUCGUUCGCACACGAAACUCUCCCUAAUCCCCCAAUCUCCGCCCCGCGCCGAUGAACGGCGGGCCCUCCGGAUUCCGUAAGCUCCGAUUUUCCCCUUCGCGAUCCUACCGAAACCCCUAAUCCCCUGCUUUUUCGAGGAAUUUUUCGCCAUUUUUUCCGAUUUUUUUGAUGCAAUUUUGACGCGGUUUCCCCUUUUCUUUGACCUAGACAAUGCUCCGGUCGCUAGGGCCUUCGUUCUCGCGUGCGUGCUCCUCACGGCCGUGUUUGGGGUUCGGGGACGGGCGCUGCGGCUCGGAUUGUCGUAUCAGGUAGAGGAUUCGUGUUCUUUUGACCUAAUUUGGUGUGUGUUUUGGGGGAUUUUUGUGCUUUUUUUAACCUAAAUUUGACGUGGGUGUUUGAUUUUGUCAUCUGAGUAGUUGGUGAAUUGGUGAAUUAAAGAGCUCAUCGACUUGUUUGUGCUCAAUUCCCUACAUUAGAUCCUCUUUUCAUGCUAUACAAUAUGCUUAUAUGUUAUGUGUGUAGCUAUGGGAAGGAAUUUAGGGAUCUAGUUAUCUAAGGAUCGCAGAAAAUAGAGUAAAUUUUGCGUUUGGUUUGAGUUUAUACUGAGUGUUUGUAGGGAUUAGAAGGAUAAUUGCGAUGUUAAAGUGUGUCCGUAAUAAUCAGAGUCAUAACUGAGUAUGUAAUGAGAAAUUGAGGAUGGUGUGGCACCAGUGGUUGGGUGGACGAAUUUUGUGAGGAUAGCUUCUUUUUCCUUAGGUUAUCCUUUAUUGUAUGAUAAUUGAGAACAAAAUCAACAUUUUCAUUUGGUUUUAGAUUUUAGGAGUAUCUGUAAUAGUUCAGCAAUAGUUAUAACAAUAAAAUAGAGAUAUACCAGUUAUGGGGAUUACUGCGGAUAACUAGGGAUAAUGAGGUAUGAAGUGGGGGAUGGGAGAUAGGUUUUUCUUGUAUUCUUGUUGGCGGGUGAGGUUUUUCUUGCCGUGAAUUAGGUAUGGGUUUUUGAUUCUGUCAUCUCGGUAGUUGAUGGAUUGGUGACUUGCAGAACCUAUUGACCUGUUUUGGUUAAUUCCCUAAAUUAUAUUUCUUUUUAUGCUAUGUAGUAAUAUGUUUGGAAGUUUUAUGCAAUAUAAGAAUGGAGUUGCCCAAGUUGUGUAGCUCGAAUAACUAGGGAUGAAAUGAGGGUUAGCAUGUUUCCAGGGGUUGUGUGGUGUUUGGAUAAAUUCUGUGAGGUUAUUUUCUUAUUCCUUAGGUUAUUUGCUAUCCUAAGAUAAUUGAGAACAAAGUCAAAUUACUGUUUGGUUUAGAUUAUAAGAGUAUCUGUAACAAUUACGUUGAUGAUUACAACAAUAAAAGAUAGUUUGAUCGGUUAUGGAGAUAACUAGCGAUAACUAGGGAUAACUAAGGGUAAAGUGUGGAUAGCUCUUUGUUGACAUGAGUUUUUCUUGUGCUCUUGUUGGUUGUAAGGUUUUGCUUGCUUUAAAUUAGACGUGUCUGUGGAUCGUUGAUGAAUUGAUGAUUUUACAGAACCCAAUGACUGUUGUAGUCAAUUGAUUCCGGGCAGACUUUUUACCCUGACAUAGAUUCUAUUUUAAUGUUGUUCCCUUGGAAGUUUGCUGUAGCAUGGGAUGAACAUACAGACUAAGUUUUAGAUGCAUAACUAUGUUCAUUUUUGCAUUAUAUUUAAAGGGCAUCUUCACCUCAGGUACAAAUUAUUUGGAUUCAGCUAGAAACUUUUCUCUAUUCUUGUAGAAGUCCUUGGAAAUUAAGAAAUGGAUGGGCAAACAUAAAGGGAUGGUGAGUUAAUGUACAUAAGCUAGCACAAUUAAUUAGUCGAACAACAUUUUUAGUUUGUCCCGUUAAUGGUUAUUAUGUUCUUGCACGCAUAAGAUUUGCUAGUUAAAUGAUUAGUGAGAUCAAUUUUAUAUUGUAUAUAUGUUCUGUUGGUAGUAGAAGAUGAUUUGCAAAAGGAAGCACCUGAUGAGAACAACAUUUGACUUAGAAAAAAACUUUCUAUUAUCACCAUGGGGAAUAAAAUUCUGUUUGUAAUGAAGCUCCAAUUGAAUAGUGAAUGCAGUAAAAUUUUCUCCAAGGUAGUAUCCAUGUAUUCCUUUUUGUCACUUUUACUCUGGUACUUGGACACCUUAUAUAGAUUCUAGAUAGCGUGAAUUAUCUACUGGGUUCACUUGGUAAGAUGGAGAUUCACGUUCUACGCAUGGUUCGGGGAUGUUUGUUUGACUUUGGCGGUAAUAGUGGUCUAUGAAUUAAAUUGUUGUAUAUUACCAUCUACCAAAUAUAAUAUUCCAUGUCUGACUCUGUUCGUGUUUCAUAUUCAAGAAAAUUCUCUUUUUUUAAUACUCUCUCUCUCUCUCUCUCUCUCUCUCUCUCGCUUGUGCAUGCACACACACACACACAUUUGUAAAACUUGGUAUGCUAUAUGGAUAGUUGGUUUUUCUGGUUUAAAUACAUCCUUAUUGGCUAAACACUUAUUGGUGAAAUAUGUUUGUAAUUUCCAUUUGUAACUUUUUGUGACGAGUGAAAAGUUGGUUUUUAUGGUUUAGAUACAUCAUUGGUUGCUAUCCAUUUCCCAUUGUAGCUUAAAUACUAAGAAUUAAUCACUAGUUGAGGGGAAUCAUUACGGUAUUAUGUAUUUCAACUGAUGCAUAUAAUUUUCUUAGUUUUCAUGAAGCAGUUUAUCUGAACUAGUGUUCUUUGUUCAAAAUAGAUUAUUUAUUUAUAACAAUUGUUUAUUGUGCUAGACCGAUAGGAGAUUUUUUUCUCUAUUGGAGUCUAAUUUUGUGGCUUCAAAAUUUAGUAGUACAGUAAGGUUUAUCUUCAGAACCAAUUUGGACAGUAGAUUUUGGUAGCUUCAUAUUAAUCUCAUUACCAAAGAUAUUUUAGUUGAUAUUGUCUUAAUAUUUAAUAAAGAAAUUAGAACAAUUACAUGAUUUUUGGUUUCUAUAAUGUUGAAACUUUUAAGUAAUUAUUUUUUUGUAAGACAUAAUGGAAGUCAUAGAUUAUAAGUGUCUUAGUUGAUAAAACAUUAUUUAAUAACUGAUAUUUUCCUAGUUUGCAAGUGCCUUGGAACUUAAGAAUUCUUAGCACUUAAACCUCAAGAAUAUAAAUACUUUAGAGUUUGUCUUAUCAUCUGUCCUAGGUACUCUUGACGGUAAGUUGCACUCCAAUUUAUCAUUGAGGAGUGCCAUGGGAUGUCAUAUUAAAUCCAGGUGUUUGAAUAUGUUGACUCCUGUAAAUCCUGAAAGUCAGUUUCCCACUUAACCCUUUAGUUCUUAUGAUAAUGAGGUGAUGAAAAUUUUUAUUAGGUUAGGAGUGAAAUGAUAUUGGUUAUUAAGUUAGUGGAUAAUUGAUAAGUUCAGUAAAAUCUUGGAGGAUUGGAGUAUAGGGUGUCAUUCAUUGCGUCAAUUGGGAUUUGGGAACCGUUGCCUAUUAGUCUCUGGUACAUUUUUUUUCUUUUUAAUGAUGUUAUGUUAUUUCCUUCAGAAUUUGCACUAUGCAUGUAAUAUUUGUCACAAAGUGACAGUUUCAGUUAUAUUAAUAUUGUAACGUUUCGCUUGUGGCAGGAUAUUAUAAAAACCUUCCAGUUAUGGAGGAUUUUUGCAUCAGUAUUUGCGUUUUCGUCUACACCAGAAUUACUGUUUGGAGUAUACUUGCUUUAUUAUUUUAGGGUAUUUGAGAGGCAGAUGGGCUCCAACAAAUACUCAGUAAGUAAUAGGCCACUGAAAAGAAUCUUCGGCACACUGACAUAAGUUGUCAUGUGACUUGUUUAGAUGUGUCCUUUUCGAUAAAAGCUUGUUUAAAUGUGUUCUAAUUGAACAAAUAUAGUACUUCCAUUCUGUUCUCCUUAAAAGUUACUUUAUGGAUAGCAAACAUUGCUUGGUACUUCGACGACUUUUUAUUUCUUAGUCAUCUUGUUUAUGCACAAGUUUUAACCAUCUGUUUUCGGACUGUUUACUUGAUGUAUGUUGAAUUUGCAGGUCUUUGUGUUAUUCUCGCUGAUAGUAUCUUCGCUAUUUGAGAUUAUAGCUUUGAUGCUUUUUAAAGGUAUAGUUGUUUCUUAGUUUGCUAACCUACGCAAAUCAGCGUUAUAUGAUAAUCUUGCCUACUGAAAUAAUAAUGCCUUUUUGCCUUUUUGCUUACUGAAAUACACCUUUCUUUCCUUCAACUUUUAGUUAUGUAUUAUAAAUUCAAUAUAUUGUAUAAUACUUUUCUCUUCUAAGCGAUUGUAGAACCUUUUGACAUUCUAUCUUGCACAUAAACUUAGUUGAAAUAAUGGUUUUUCUUUUUCCUUUUCAUAGAUCCCACGGCAAACGUAAUUGCUUCUGGGCCUUAUGGUCUCAUAUUUUCAUCAUUUGUGCCCUUUUAUUUUGAUAUUCCUGUUACAUCACGGUUCCGCAUAUUCGGCUUACAAUUUGGCGACAAGUCAUUCAUAUACCUGGCUGGCCUUCAGGUUAUUGUUGUUUCCAGAAUCUCGAUAUUUUUAGGGGCAGUUUAUGUUAUUGUUAAUUACUCCGUGUUCUCUCUCCUGCUAUCAGCUUCUCUUGUCGUCCUGGAAAAGGUCACUUUUACCUGGCCUAUGUGGAAUGCUGGCUGGCGCCCUAUAUCACCUCAAUGUAUUUGGCAUUCGCCGGAUAAAGGUAAUUAUAAUUAAACUCAUUUUACUGUCUAUGUUACUUCAUUCCACUUACUUUUACAGCAUCAUGUCCUGUGGUAACUUCCUUAUAUUUUCUGCUUUAGAAAUUGGAACACUGUUGACAACCGAGGAACAUGAGGUUUCAAUUAGAUAUAUAAAGAGAGUAUAAAAUUAUACUUUUUGCAUGACUAUUUUAUUGGCAGUGAAUUCUUUUCUUUUGUUCUCAGGUUGCUUGUAGAACCUUAAUCAGCCUUUUUAGCUACUUGAGCAUAAAACUCCUGAGAAAAUCAGUCUAAAAUUUAAUACAAAAGUAUUUGACAUCAACGCGCGAGCUGAAUAGCACAAUAGAAAUGUAAAAUGCUUUUAAUCAAAGAGCACAAAAUGUGAGAUAAAGUGGUCUACAUCAGAGGACCUUAGCUUUUGUGGAAUUCUGUUGAUUACUUGUUCGAAAGAAACAAAAAGCUGUGAUGAGGGAAAUGCAAUGGUCUCUGAACCUCGAUUUUCUUCAUUUCAUACCAAAACCACAUAAAAGAACCAACACAAUUUAGAGAAAAGAAAAGAGAAAAUUUUGAAGACUUGAAAAUUCAUGUUGAUUAUGUUUCACAUGAAAACAAAUGUACGGUAAAGUGAACUAUGGCUAUACUUCAUUAGAGUUAUAUAAGCAAGGAUUUAAGUGCCUAUUGGCAUAGGCCGUGUCCACUGUAACAUACCAUGCUGACAAGAUAUCGCAUGAUAUGACCCCGUGCCGAUGGCGCGGCACAAUAUUCUCUUUUCUUUGAAAUUAGCAAGUAGCUGUCUGGAUAAAGUGCAAAAGAUUUAAUAAAGAUAUACCAUAAGCAAUAAAAUAUAUUGGUGCAAAAAAAGAAAAGAAACGUUAUGCCAAUGUGUGUCGGUGAUAGGCACGCAAGUACUUUUUGUGACAUGGAUGCAUCGGCACAACACGCACCAUGCCAUACCGCGCCAGCAAGUUUUUGGCGCGAUCCUGUUCCACGGCACUUAAAUCUUUGUUUUUAAGGUUUCUUGUAAUGUUAUUAUCACUGUCUUAUGCAGUUCUUAUUCAUGAUCGUUGAACCUGGUCGAACUGGGUUGAACUUUACGUUUAGUACUAGAAAUAUCUCUAUAGCGACAAGUUAUGUGCGGCAUUCCGAAUGGAAAUCAUCAACUCCACUGUAGAAGGGUUUAUACAGCUUUUGUUGCUUUACAUGAAGACAUAGACGAACUGCUAAAGAUUUUAAUUAUAAUUGUCGAUAACAAAAGUGAUUCAGGUUAUAUUCUUGAUCUGUGAAUACAAAUUACUUGCUUGAAAGUUUCCGUGUUGCCUUAGACCGACAAUGAUUGUUUCAUCUGCGGUCUUUUCUCAAAAACAAUUAAGAAUUCUCUUGUUAAUGAAAAUAUAAUGUGAUUAAUAAUCCCACAGUUCCCAAACGCCGUGGCGAGACAUUUCUCAAGGUUUUUCGCAUCUUCUGGGGCAAGCUCAUCGCGAACGUCACCAAAUGGGAAUAUUGCAGGAAAUAUUUCUUCUUUCACCGGCCGUCAAACUCAGGCAAGUCUUCUUACUUUCUAUCAAUAGUAACACACUAUCCGUGAAAGCUUUUAUCGCACAUAUUAUGCAUCUUUCGAUUGCUCCGAGAAAUCGUCUUAUUUCCCUGAUUCGCUUGCAGCGAAAUUAUCCACCUGUGGCACGUGCGCCUCCUCCAGAGCCACCUGAGUCUUCUAUCGCUAUGCUGGUAUCAAUGGGAUUUGAUAGCAACGCUGCGAGGCAGGCACUCAUGCAAGCCAGAAAUGACAUCAACGUGGCCACAAACAUCCUUCUAGAAGCGCAGUCGCGGUAAUCAAAAAUAGACAACAACGGUGGGGUUCUCUUACAAAUUUUCAUACGUCGAAAUCGGAUCAACUGAGUUAACACAGAACUAGGUGGAUCGAUAGAUGCUUCGUCCUUCUCCAGCGCUAGAAUCUGAUUACGUUAGGUUCGAGAUUGCAUUCAUCGGAGUUAAUAGUCGGUGCAAUCGUGUGUCGCAUAGACAUGGAUAUUUAGUAUACUUUUCUCGAUUUCGAAUGCAAGAUAGUGAUGGGUUCUGAUACUGUAGUGACAUGAGACAAUGCUUUAGCCAUCAUGUAAAAUUCUUUCUUAGAGGCUUAAAAGGACUUAAAAUCUUUUCCGAAGCUCCAGUUUACAAGAUGGUGAAUGUCUUUCUUCAAUUAGAUGGUGUAAUUCUGAGUUACUUAUUGCUUGUGAGGCGCGUUCGUAGUCGUUGUCGCUGUUUUACUGCAUUAAUUUGUCAAUUGCCUCCGUCGUCGAUGUGCUCGUAGAAUAUUGGUCAAUAUUGUUUGCAGUUGCUUUUAGUUAUUAUUGACUUUUAUCUCGCAGUCCCUUUCUCUUAUUAAUCUCUAUUUAUAUUUCCUUAGAAGCUUUUUUUUUUUUUUUUUUUUUUUCUUCUUUCUUUGGGGGGGGGGGGGGGGGAGCGAGGAGGACCGAGCUGAUGCUCGAGCGAGGCUUACACCGCUCAAGCUUGGCUUGAAAUUAAUUUCGAGCCUAAAUUUAGCCUCAAGCUCAGCUUGAAAUUAAUUCGAGCUGAGCUUGAGCGAGCCUAAUUUCCAGUCGAGCGACCUCGAGCCCUAAACGAGCCGCUUGAAAUUUUUAAUAUCGUACGAUCAAUAGUUUAAUUCAUACAGAACAUUAUCUACAAUUUGAUAUAAAAAUAUAUCUAAUAGUUCAAAAUAUAAAAUAAUUAUAUAAAAUACGGUAUUAUAAUAUGAGGAAAAAUAAUUUAUGAAUUGAAUAUUUAAUCUUUUUAACCUUGUAUGUUUUUACUUCCGCCUUCAAUUUUCAUAUUAUUCCUUUUAAUCCAUGCGGUCAAAAAUAAAUAAACUAUAUAGCGAAAUAUUGAAUUACACUAUCCAAUCAUAUAUGACUAAAAUUAAAAUUUUGUAUAAAUAAUAUUUUUAUUUGAAAAAUAUUUUAUAUAUUUUCUUAAGCACACAACUAAUGGCAAGGUUGGUAACAUCGGGCGCGUGUUAUUACUUGGUAACUUGGAGAGCUUCAGGCUUAGCCGCUUGGUGUGUGUGAGAGAGGGAGAGAGAGAGAGAGAGAGAUACUAGGGCCCUGUGAAAAAAAAAGAGUGAGAGUAUGUAAAUUUAGGAAAAUUUUACCUUUUUGUUGGCAUAUUGAGUUUGUUUUUAUGGGCUGACAAUAUAGGCCCAAUUUUAACUAAAUUCAGAUUCUCACUCAGCCUACAUAUAAUUAAUAUAUAUAUAUAUAUAUAUAUAUAUAUAUAUAUAUAUAAUUAUAGUAUUUAUAGUCCGGCUGGGUAUCUAUCGAUGCACCAAGGAUUUGGGUGCUAUCGAGUUUCUAUGUAGAUAGGUAUGCUUUGCAGUAUUUUUUACCCGGUUAGAUUAUACUAUUAACAAUUACUCACCGAUCCUUAGGAGGUAAUACAUCUACACUCUUUUUUAACAAUGGCUAAAAUUUCAGUGCACAAUUAGAUUGUGCUAUGAGUUUUCGCGUAGUUUAUAUAUAUCAUAGAGAGAGAGAAGGUUGGACUGGGUAUAUUUAGUAGCAAAAUCCAUUGUUUAGCUUACCAGUUUUUAGUUUGGAUCAAUGCUUUUCAUCAUUUCUAACCAUUGGAUUAAUACUAUAACCCAGUGGGGACAUAACCCUAGGGGGCACUAAACUCUAAUGACUAAUAUUCAUCCUAACCCUAAAUUUUCAUCCAAUGGGCUAAAGAUUGAUAGUCAAAAGAAGGGUUUACUAGUAAUGUUAUUCGUAGUUAUUAUAGUAUAUAUAAUAUAUUAUAUACUAUAUAUAUAGUAUAUUACUAUAUGUAUAGAGUAUAUAUAUAUAUAUAUAUAUAGAGUUGAUCUAUGAUACUUUUACAGUAUAUCCCCAUGUUGCUAGUCACUUUUUAGCCCUGUGGUAUAUUUUUUGAUACAAAUAGCCCUGGAUCAACCUAUUUCACUACCUACAUCCUACCACUACCCAUCAUCUCACCUACAUCCUCAUCAGGGCUAAAACACACAAGUAUCACUUGGGUGAUACUUGUAAAAGUAUUCUAGCCCCUAUCAUCUCUCUCUUAUUAUAUAUAUAUAUAAUUAGGCUACUGAUACUAUUUGAGUACCCGGAGUCUGAGUACUAUAGUCUUGUUUAUCGUCUUAAGGUGUUCAAUUAACGCUCCACACUGUUAAAUUGAUCUAGAGAUAUGAAGUCUUAGCAAAUAAAUUUUAGUUUUUUUCGACAUCGUACUUAGUAAAUAAAUUAUGUCAAAAGCGGGUGAAAUUGAAUAAUUUUCAAAUUUGGCAUGCACUUUUAAUUCAAGAUCAAGAUGUUAACCUUUAAUUAGAUAGUUUAACUAUUUCUAUCAAAUUAUGGAAGAAUUUAUUCUUCUGACGUUAAACUCCAAACUCGAAUAACUAGCCAUUAAAAUAUGACAAUUUUGAAAUGGUUUGAUAUAAAAUAGAAUUAUGGCGAAAAAAUAAAAUUUUAUUUCUAAACUUUAAACCCUAGAUCAAGUUUUAACGGUGUGGAUCGUUGAUUUGAACACGUAAGAUCGAAAUGAGAUUAUAUCUACCGAACCCCCCCGGUAAUAUAGAUAGUAUAGGACGCAGCGGCUAUAUAUUACUAUAUGAGAGAGAGCGGAGACUAGGAGAGGGAACUGGAGAGAUUAGAGAGAUGAGAGAGAGUGAGCUGGAAGCUAUCGGGGGGUGCAAACUCGGCUUUCGUUGUCACCGUUGUUUUCGAUUAUUGGGAGCCUUUAAUAUGACGAUCGGGCACGGUUGAAUUGAGCUAUACCUUAAAGUAUUUAGAAACCAAAUUUAAAUCAUUUCGACAUCGAUUGAGCCUAAUGAUCAAGCGUUUCAAAUUUGUAAUUUUAUUCAGGUAGAUAUGAGGCGUUUUCUUACUUUAAGCGGUGUAAAACUAAUAAUCAUUGAUUUGGUUAGAAAAUUCUUUAGAACUAUUUAAAUAGAAAUCUAUACUCGGUCGAGUUGAUUACAAAUGCCUAUCGUUCACUUUUAGAGGAAUUCAAUUUCAGCGUUCAUUUUUACGCACUUGAUGGACAAGGAGAACAAUAUCGGAAAACAUAAAGAUUUGAUUUCUAGUAUCUUCAGUGCGAUCUGGAUUUGGAUUGCUACAUCUCGAAAAGGUAUGACAAUGAGCCCGUUGCUACGAUGAGUAUUCUAGCUAACUUAUAUAUAUAUAUUAUUAUAGAGUUGAGUCUAUGGAUACUUUUACCAAGUAUCACCUCAUGGUGCUUAUUAGGUGUUUUAAGCCAUUGGAUCUUACUUUUUUGAUAUUAAUAGCUCCUUGUGAUAAGAACUAUUCACCUGACACACCUCACCUAUCUCAACCUAUCAUCUCUCCAUCAAGGGCCUAAUAAACAACACAAAGUAGCACACAUAUGACUUUUAAGUAUUUCGGAGCCUAUCAUUAUAUAUAAGAUAUAUAUAAUUAUAUAUAUUAUAUUCAAGCUUCACUUUGUUUUCGAUGUUCGGACUUCGAUCGACGAGUCGUCCGUGUAGAGUUGAUCUAGUUUUUAAGUACAAGAAAUUAAUUUUUGCGAUUUUUCGAUAUAUUUGCCUAGUGAUCGAAGGGGAUCAAAAUCAAUAAUUUAAGGGCCGUGGUGAGCUGUUGGCAGUUUUAACGGUUUUGGUUGUUAGAAAUAUCAAAUCCGUGAAAUUUGAUAGAAUUCUUAUAUACCAUUAUAAACAAAGACAAUAACUUUAUGAUCUAAAAUUUUUAAUGUCAUAUCAUCAUAUUUAGUGAGAUGUUUUAUUUUCAGCCGUUGUGAUUUGGAGCUCAUUCAUCACUAGGAAAUGAUAUCGAAAGAUCGCAAAUUUGAUUUUCUAGCAUUAUUUCAAAUACUCUAUAUUCAAGUCUAACGAGAGCGGAUCGUCGAUUUGAAAUCGCCAACAUCGAAACAAGGGAAGAACGGAGCGCUCGUGCUUUCCCAAAGACCACAGAGCACGUUUAAUAUAUAAUAUAGUAUAUAUAUAGAUAUAUUAUUUAAUAUUAUUCAAGAUUUUUCGAGGCCUUAAUUCGACCUUUGUGAGCCCGAGAAUACUCAAGCCAGCUUGGAAUGAAUUCCGAGAUUUUUUUUUUUUUGUGUUCAAGGCUCGGGCUAUUAAUUUCAAGUCGAGAUAGUGGGCGAAUAUCGAGGUCGAAACGAGCGGCUCGCUCAUUUGCAGGCCUGUUGUGGCGGUGGAGCGGAGGGCGACAUCUCUAAUGUUUUUUUUUUUUUUUUUUUUGUUUUUAUGUUUUUUUUUUUUUUUUUUUUUUUUUUUUUUUUUUCUUUUUUUUUUCUAUACUCCUUGGGAGUGAUCAAAAUGCCUUACUUUGAUUUUAAAAAAUCCUUCAAUUUUAAAACUCUUAUUAGGGCUAUAAUGAAUUGGAGUAUAGAAGAGUUUUUGAUAAUUUCAUCUGUUUAAAAUUUGAAUUUUAAAUUUUUUCGGGUUUGAUCAGGAUCUCUCUUAUUCACUUUGGUUAUGACUCUCUGACAUGGCUCUUCAUUUAUGUAUACGGGUCGAGGAUGCUACUUGUUAGGCAGCCUAUUGGUUCCUGGUUUGUAAUUUUUAAUAAUUAUAUUAUAUUUUUUAUUAAAAUAUUUAAAUCAUAUUGGUAAAAUUAUGUUUGGGUAGUUCUGUAAAUAGUGUUGACGAUAGUAGUAAUUAUUGUAGAUUCUCAUCGGCAGAAUUAUUAAAUUUAUUAUGAGUAAGAGGUAGCUAUUUUUAUUUUGUGUACAUAAUAAAAUUAUUAGUAGUUCAUUAUAAGAACAUAUAGUUUUUAACAACUUUCUAAUUUGAAAUGGUUUGAAUAAGAUUCGAGUAACAUAUUUGCGUGCGUAAUCUAAGAAUUAUAGCACAGUUUUUUCGCAAUCUUUACUAAUUUUAAACCAAAAUUGGGUAAUAAACUGUAUAAUCACAUAGCAUCAAUAAAAUUAGUACAUAAGAUUUGGGCCCAUUGGCAUAUUGCAAUUUACAAAGAAGAAUAUUAAGUUUAUUAGGGGUAAUGCAAUCUUUAAUCCUAUUCCUUGGUUUCACACAUUGGUUCUUAUGUUUAGUAUCUAUGGCGUUUAAUGUGCAUUCAUUUAGUCAUAAGUAUGAUUUCAUUUUUGUCUUUUUAUUUUAAUUUACUAAUUUUUUUUUCAUUAAAUCAGUACAACGUUUAUAACGUAAACGGUACUAAAGUGACUAUUUGAUAACAUCUUAGAUAGGAUAUCGGGAAGUUUUUGUGAUAUAAAGAUUUAACGAGAAUAUUAACGACAAAGUUGACAAAUUUAACGAAAUUUAACGAAAAAUGAGAAAGCAUAAAAUAAAAUCAGGAUAUACUUGUUACACUUUAAACAAUAGGGAUACUAAGUGAGAACUAUGCGACCACGAAGGUGAGUAUUGAAAGUUUGCAUUUAUGAUUAGUUUUACCUUUAUUAAUAUUUUUUUUUUUUUUCCUCUUCCUUUUUUUCAGAAUACAAUUCAUUCCUCUCACCAACCAAAAAAGCAGCUAAAGAAGUAAUAAACAUCUCAGCAAUUCUAUAUACAAUUUCGCGAAACAGUUUCAGAUUCUUCUUUUAAGUUCAAACACAAACUUUAAGAUGCAAAUCCACUCGAGAAGAAUCGGAGCUUCGAGAACGAAGUUAAAAUUAGUGUUGCUGAAAGUAGAGCAUUCUAAGUGCCCUCCCCAUCCGCGGUGUAGACCGGAAUCUGCCAGUUCUUGUUGUUCUUCUUGGGGUCAUCUGUCAGGUACAGAUCAUUCUCAUCUUCUCUGAAUGUCUUCACAAAUGUUUUCGCGCCCGACAUUACCAACCUCUCCACUAUAAAUAGCUGGUAAUUGUUCUCGAUCACCGGGUCUAAUAUCUCGCUGAAAUUCGACGAAUAUGCUAACCUAUACCUGUAUUAAAAAAAGAAACCAUAAGAUCGAAAAUACUAGCAUUUAAUGAACAACUUCAGAAUUGUUGCGACUGUAACAAUACUAUUUCUGCAUCUUGGAAAGGAGAAUGCUUGGUUUUCAAUUCAAAGUGUCUAAUUCAAUUCAGGAAAAUUAACUCGAAUCAAUGAAUCAACGGUUGAGAUGUCGAUCAGGAGAAGAAUGGCGGGUAUUUCUGAGUUUCAGUUCAGUGAAAGUCAUAACCUGGCAGACAGUGGGGAAAAGAAGCCCGGCGUCCUCUCAUUCGAAGCGAUGAAUAUCGUCCGUCCUGGAGCAAUCCAUUUCGCUAUUCUCCGUUGAAUGGAUUCUGGGCGGGUGUCCCUGUCGAGGUGCGGAUGAAGGGUUCUGACGACUCCGAAUUCAUCUUUCCUGGUCGCCAUUUUGUCCCCUCUCCGCACGUGAACGGCGUCGUAAUCACGGAGCAAAGCUUCGAUCUGCAAAGACUACUGCAUGUUGUUAUGAUAAGAGGAUUUCGAGCUGUUUGAGCGUUUAAUUUGUACGAUUCACAGUACAAAAUAAUCGAAGGAAGCAAACAACUUAUGCCGCAUUGAUAAACCAGCAUGCUCUAGAACAGAUAUUGAUUUGGUGAUAAACGAUACCUUUUCUGCCGCAUCUCUCAAUCUUCUACUUGCCAUCCUCGGCAGAAAAGAGUACGGCAGCAUUACGGAGCUGCGAUUCGCUCGAUCCUUGCACUCCGUGAACCUAAAUUUUAUUACCACGAUCAAGACUAGCUCUUCAAUAGAUCUUUUACGACUCAAGCAUUAAAUCGAAGCCCCAAUCUUCGUCACCUGUAUCAUUUUACUACACUUUGAACUGCAGUGUACAAAGUAAAAUCGAGAUUUUACCAUGCCAGAGGACUCGCCGUGCGGUUUAUGAGCAGAACAUCGGAGUACAUGCACUUCUCUUUGAGCUCCGCCCGGCUAAUUCCCUGUACAUGGGCUAUCCCCCGCUUUCCGAGCCUCGUACUUUUCAACAGUAUCUGAUACCACGCCUUCGAAUUGUCCAAAAUCACUGGAACUGUUCGCGAAAUCAGGUCUAUAUCAUACAAAGAGUCCAUCGCGCAGAAAUUUGCUUCCCACCUACAGAAGAUUGAAUUCUACUCAUUAUUCAUCAACACUUCAAACAAUGCAUUCAAAGCUCUUUGCGGCGCAUUGCAGUAAAAUAGGCUAAGUUUAGCGAGUUUAUUGGCAAAUCUUUCGUAAUCACGGAAUUUUCACGAAACCGGACACGAGACUAGCACUGUUUCAGAACAUUCGUGGGAACUGCACUGAAUUGGGCAGAGACCUGUCCUCUGAGCUUCCAUUGUUGGAUCGGCGGCGGAGAAUCCCCUUCUUGUUAUGUAUUGGAUUAAUGCACAUUCUGGAAGGCAUCACAAACACUCUGGAGAAGUUACUGAAGUUAGUAAGCAAAUAAUAAGAUAUAGUAGUAGAACAUAGCAAAUGAAUGGAGCUGAAAAAGAAACUAAAAUCAUGAGACAUUGCUAAUCCUUGCAAAGAGUGGAAAUUAUUGCAUUGUCACUUGUAAAAGGUUUCAAUUCUCUAUCUCCGUCAAGUUGUGAAAUGUCGCAGAUUCGUCCCUACUAGUUGAACUAGUAUUAGCAACUUGUUGGGUCCAACCAUUGGUUCAAAAUGCACUAGUCCAGUAAUUGAUAAUUUAAUACUAGAGUGAUUAUUACUCCUUAUAUAUCCAAAUAAAAUCCAUUUACAUCCAAUAUAGGAAAUAUUACAGUGUUGAAAUAAUGCGAUGCUGCACCUGCCUUCUUACUGUAACAUACUAGUCCACUAAGGGGCUGUUUGAGUGCAUGUAGUUGCAACUGCAAAUCCGACAUUUUUCGUUCGAUGCGUUUGAAUCCAACUAUCGCAGUUGGAACUGCAUGAGGAUGCCCAACUGCAGUCUGCAGCAGUUAGAGAGAGCAACUUCAAACAAGAGGUAAGCUUACGUCCUUAAUUUUUUUUUUUUAUAAUAUUAGAGGUAAUUUCACCAUUAUAUAUAUAAAGUGAUAAAAUUUUACAAACACAUCUCUCAACUCCAUGCAACCAAAUAAAUUAUUUAUAAUUGCAGCGGUUUCUACUACAUACAUCUAAACAAAAUAUAUGUAGUUGUAACUGCAUGCAUCUCUAACAACACUGCAUUUCUAAUUACAUUAAACCAAGCGACCCUGAUAUUGGCGGCUUGUUAAACCUAUAUCAUCAGCGCAAACACUUAAGCCCAAGUUAUUAAUACUAUACACACAAAAGCACUAAUAUUAGCAACAUGCUGGGCCCAAACUAUGGGCCUAAAAUACUUAGUCCAAAUUAUUGGUAUUAGAAUACCUAGUCUCCUUAGAUCUUGAUAUUCUUGUCACACAUAGUCAAGGAUCAUCGAGCGAUAUGAUCCUCGACUAUGAUACAAAAUGUAACGAUUCGGCCGACUAGUAUCAGCAAAUUUGUUGGGCCCAAAUCACCGGCCCCCCCAAUGCUUAAGCCAAUAAUAAUGCUUACAAAUUGCCCAAGCCCAACCAACUAAUAAUAGGGAUGCAAAUGAACCCCUAGGUUGAUGGAGCUCCCGCUCCGAUCAGCCUCGAAUGCGAUGGUAGGUGGGGCCAAAAAUAAAAAAUUGCCCUCUCCGAAUCCGCCCUGAUCCGUAAUAAAAUGGAGAGAAAGAGAGAGGUGAAGGAUCCCUUCCUUCCUUGCUUGAUGCAUCCCGAUUCAAUAAAAAUCCACCAAGAACUCGCUUUCGCUCUAACUCAUUCCGAAUGGAGCGGUAGGUAGGAGUCAAAAAUAAAAUAAAAAUUAACUCAUUCAUAAUCUAUAGUAUUCUAGCCCGACUCUAUAUAUAAAAAACAAUAUUAUAUAUAUAUAUAUAUUAUAUAUAUAUAUAUAUAUUAUAUAUAGAGAAGAGAGAGAGAGAGAGAGAGAGAAGAAGAGAGACUAGUCUCCUAUACUAUCUACAGUAUCAGCUCCGGUAUCUAUAGUCCCGUUUCGAUGUUCGGGUGUUCAAAUCAACGAAUCCACACCAUUAAGGCAUUGAUCUAGGAUAUUUAAAGUUUUUAGAAAUAAAAUUUUAUAUUUUUUCGACAUAGUUUACUUUAUGAUCAAAGCAUUUCAAAAUUGUCAAUUUUCAAUGGUUACUAUGGUGAGUUUGGAGUUUAACGGUGUGUUAGAGAGAAUCCAAAUUUCUUCAAAUUUUGAUAGAAAAUAUUUUAAACUUUCUAGAUUAAGGUUACAACUUUCUUGAUCUUGAAUUUAAUGCUCAAAUUUUAAAAUAUUCAAUUUCCACCUUCAUUUUGACAUAUUUAUUUACUUAGUAAACAAUAUCCGAAAAAAUUAAAUUUUAUUCCUAAACUUCAUUAUACCCUAGAUCAUAUUUAACGGUAUGAAUCGUUAAUUUGAACACUCUAAGAUCGAAAACAAAGAUAUAAGUACCGGAGCUCGGUACUAUAGAUAGUAUAGUAGCCUUAUCUAUAUAUACUAUAAUAUAUAUAUAUAUAUAUAUGUAUAUAUAUAUAGAGUGAGUGGAAUACUAUCGUAACAAACAGGGCUCUCGUUGCGCACCCAUUGUUUUCGCAUUGAUGGAGCCUCCAAAUCGACAUCUGGCGACUGUUGAAAAUGAUACAUAUACCACUUGGAGAUAUCUAGAAAUCAAAUUUCAUACUGUUUCAUAAUAUUGUUUUCUUGCCUGCUCAUCAAGUGGGCGUAAAAAUGAAUGGCUGAAAAUGAAUAUCAUCUAAAAAGUGAUGAUAGAAUUUUGUAAUCAUGAUCGAGAGUAUAGAUCUUGUUCUAAAUAGUUUAAAGAAUUUUCUAACCAAAAUUCAAUUGAUUUGGAUAGCUUUAUACCGUUAAACGAGAAAACCCCUCACAUCAACCAUUAAAAUUACUAAUUUUAAAACCUUUUGAUCAUUAGGUAAAUGAUGUCGAAAAGAUUUGAAAUUUAAUUUCUAAAUACUUCAAGUGAUAUAGAUCAUGUUCAAUGGUGCCGAUCGUCGAUUUGAAAGCUCCAUCAUCGAAAACAAAUGGGUGGCAACGGAGCCCGUUUGCUACUGAUAGCAUUCCAGCUCAACUCUAUAUAUAUAUAUAUAUAUAUAUAUAUAUAUAUAGUUGAACUAGAAUACUCUCAAAAGCACCAUGAAAGUGGUGCUUUUGAGUUUUUAGCCAUUGGAUGGAGAGAUGUGAGGUUGAGAUGAUAGUGGUAGGUGGUGGUAGGUGAUGGUAGGUGGAAUAAUGUUUGAUCUAAGGGCUAUUAGUAAUUAAGGAGUAGAUCCAAGAGUUAGAAACCUAGAAGCACCAAAAGGGUGAUACUUCUAAAAGUAUUCUAGCCUAUAUAUAUAUAUAUAUAUAUAUAGAGUGGGCUGGUAUGCUUUCGUAAGCACGGAGGCCUCCGUGCUUACGAUUUGUUUUCGAUGUUCGGACUUUCGAAUCGACGAUCGGCUCCGUUAGAGUUGAUCUAGAGUAUUUAAAGUACCAAGAAAUUAAAUUUUGCGAUUUUUCGAUAUCAUUUGCCUAGUGAUCGAAGGGGCUCAAAAUCAAUAAUUUUAACGACCGUGGUGAGCCGGUUGCAAGUUUAACGGUGUAGAAAUAUCCAAAUCACGUGAAAUUUUGAUAGAAAAUUCUUUAUACCAUAUAAAACAAGAUCAAUAACUUUGAUCUAAAAUUUUAAUGUCAUAUCAUCAUAUUUUGUGAGAUUUUUAUUUUCAGCCGUUGAUUUUGAGCCACUUCGAUCACUCGGCAAAUGAUAUCGAAAAAUCGCAAAAUUUAUUUUCUAGAUACUUCAAAUACUCUAGAUCAAGUCUAACGGAGCCGAUCGUCGAUUUGAAAGUCCCAACAUCGAAAACAAAGUGGAAGCACGGAGCGCUCCGCUCCGUGCUUCCGAAAGCAACCCAGACGCACUCUAUAUAUAUAUAUAUAUAUAUAUAUAUAUAUAUAUAUAUAUAUAUAUACUUUUGUGUAGGGUCGAGGUCCCCGCACCUCCGGAGGAAGAGGGCUUCUUCGAGGGCGCAUCGGAGGCUGGAUUCCUGAUGCCCCAAUCCCGCGCACGAAUCGCAAUGCUUCCCCGGGCAAUCGAUCCUCUCCCCCCAGUACACGUAUCUGUGGUUGUCGUGCUUGCAGUACUCCUUGUAUCUAUCGUACGAAGAGGAGGAGGAGGACGAGGAGAAAGAGAGGAUCGAUAUCACCAUCGCCACCACCACCACCACCACCACCACGAGUAGGAGGAGGAGGACUAGGAGGAGGAGGAACCGAGCUAGGGUUCGCGGAGGGGCCCUGGAUUUGUGCUGCCUCGCGAUUCGCGCUGGGAUCGCCAUGAGGAGGAGGAGAGUGUGAGAGUGAACGCGCUCACACACACACUCUCUCUCUCUUUUUGCCUUUUUUUUUUUUUAAUGAUGAUUUAUUUAUUUUAAGCACUAUUAUAUAUGCCGUACAGUGAAAUGAAAGCGCGGGGGAUGAUGGUGUCAGUGUCGGUGCCUGUGCCUGCGCGGGAAAAAUACUGUCCCCUGCACCCGGUGCACCACAGUGGUGCGCCCAUAGACCAGGUGUAAAUUUUGAGGAAGUUUACUGUGUCAUACUUGCAUCGCAUUAGUUGGGGAUGCCAUGCCGACAGUUUAACUGAUGCAUUCUAAAUUUUUUUUUUUCGUGAAUCCUACGUCCUACGUACUCGCACAAAGACCAAUAGAGUUCUCGCAGCGAAUAUUCUAUUUGUACACCUCAGGAAAGGAGUGUAGAUCUUACAAGCUGCUCCGUUCUAUAAUUCGCAAGAAUCUAAAUAGAGAAUGAAAAACUUAUUCCCUGUGGUUUAGCUUAUUUUGACUUUACUCUUUGUGGUUCAAAAAAGUUAUCCUUAAUUAUUUUGAGGUUUAGCUUAUUUUUACUUUGCUGCCCUUCAGCGCAAAAAAAUUAUAUUUGACUAUUCUGCGGUUAUAAAAAAAAAAAAUUUGCAUCAACGUUCUAUUUGACGUAAACAUUUUGGAUAAAAAUCGACAUAAAAUUACAGAAUAAUUAAGUACAAUUUUUUGAACCAUAUGAUGAUAAAGUAAGACUAAACUAAACCACAAGGGUUCAAAUUGAAGUUUACCCUUAAUUCUUUGGGGGUAAAAUUGGGCCUUUGGUCCUCAAACUAUAUAUAAGACGCGUGACAUUUUAGUCCUCAAACUUUAAUUAAUAAUAAUUUUUGGCGUGAACCUAUGAGGUAUGUGAUAUUUUAAUUUUCAAACUUUCCAAAUUGUUACGUUAUCCCUCUCGAUGAUGUAACAAUAAUUAAAAUACUAUGUUAUUUUGAUAUUUGUAAUUUAUCAAUAUUUAUUCAAUAAAAAUUAAAUUGUGAGACAUGAUUACAACAAUUCAGAAAGUUCGAGGACUAAAGUGAUACACGCCUUAUAAUUCGAACUAGAAAUUACAACUAAUCAAAAUUCGAGGACUAAAGUGCUGUGCGCUUUAUAGUUCGAGCAAAAAAUUAUAACUAAUUAAAGUUCGAAGGUACUGCGAGGACAAAAAAUAUAAUUUAUAAUUUUAUCUUUUUUUUCAAUACNUGCCUCGAGAUUCGCGCUGGGAUCGCCAUGAGGAGUAGGGGAGAGUGUGAGAGUGAACGCGCUCACACACACACACUCACACUCUCUCUCUCUCUUUUGCUUUUUUAUUUUUUAUGAUGAUUUAUUUAUUUUAAGCACUAUUAUAUAUGCCGUACAGUGAAAUGAAAGCGCGGGGAUGAUGUGUCAGUGUCGGUGCCUGUGCCUGCGCGGGAAAAAUACUGUCCCAUGCACCCGGUGCACCACAGUGGUGCGCCCAUAGACCAGGUGUAAAUUCUGAGGAAGUUUAUUGUGUCAUAGGGCCUGUUUGGCCUAGCUUCUAAAAAAGUGAUUUCGAAAAAAGUGAUUUUGAUUUGGAGAAAUGAUUUUGGCGAAGAGCUGUAGAGCGUUUGGCAGAGUUCAGAUAGAAGUGAUUUUUUCUGAAGUGAUUUUGAAAAACUGUUUGGCAAAUUUUUUUUCAUGUUUACAUAAAUUAAUAUUUUUAUUAAAUUUUAUUUUAAAAUAAUUUAAAAUCUAAAUUUAAAUUUGAUUUAAAAUUAAAAUUUUUAUAUUUCAAAAUUGUACAAAAUUUAAAAUUUGAUAUUUUAAUUUAAAAAAUAAUAUAAAAUUUUAAAAAUUUAAAGUUAAAAUAAUUAUAAAAUUUAAAAAUAUAUAUAAUUAUGAAUUUUAAAAUAUAAAAUUUUAAUAUAUAAAAAUAUAAAUUAAAAUUAAAAUUUCAAACUUUAAAUUUAGAAUUUAAAUUUUAAAAUUUAAAAUCUAAAUUUAAAAUUUAAAAUUUAAAUGUAAAAAUAUAAAUAAUUGGAAAUAUAAAAUAUAAAAUACUAAGUAUUUAAAAAUAUAUUUAAAUUUAAUUAAAUUUAAAAUAAUUAUGAAUUUUAAAAUUUAAAAUUAAAAUUUAAAAUUUAAAAUAUUUAUGAAAUUUAAAAUUAAAUUAAAAAUUUGAAUUUUUAAAUUAAAAAAUUAAAUUUGAAUAUUUAAAUUUAAAUUUAAUUUAAAUUUUGAAUAUUAAAAUUUAAAUUUUAAAAUUUGAAUAUUUAAAUUAAAUUUAAAAUUUAAAAUUGAAUAUUUAAUUUUAAAUUAAAAUUUGAAUAUUUAAAAUUUAAAAUUAAAAUUUAAAAUUUGAAUAUUUAAAAUUUAAAAUUUAAAAUUGAAUAUUUAAAAUUUAAUUUUAAAUUUUAAAAAUUUGACACAUUUAUAAUUUGAAGAUUAAAAAUUAUAAUUUGAAAUUUGAAAUUUGUAAUUUGAAAUUUAAAAUUAAAUUAAAAUUAAAAUUUGAAAUUUAAAAUUUGAAAUUUGAAAUUUGAAAUUUAAAAUUUGAAUCCGAAAAUUAAAAAUUAAAAUUAAAUUUAAAUUUAAAUAUUGAAAUUAAAAUAAAAAUAAAAAUUUGAAGUUUUAAUCCAAAAUCAGAAUUAGAUUUCAAGAAGCAGUUUUUUCUGCUUCUAAUUUUGGGACCUUCAAAAUCAGUUUUCUGAUUCUAAAAAGUAGAAUCAGAUUUUAAAAGUGAGUUGCCAAACGCUCUAUUGAACCGAAAAUCACUUUUCAGCCCAAAAGCGCUUUUUAAAAGCUAGGCCAAACACCCCUAUACUUGCAUCGCAUUAGUUGGGGAUGCCACGUCAGCAAUAUAGCUGAUGCAUUCUAAAUUUUUUCUUUUCGUGAAUCCUACGUCCUACGUACUCGCACAAAGACCAACGUACUCGCACAAAGACCAAUAGAGUUCUCACAGCGAACAUUCUAUUUGUACACCUAAGAAAAGGAGUGUAGAUCUUACAAGCUGCUCUAUUCUAUAAUCCACAAGAAUCUAAAUAGAGAAUGAAAAACUUAUUCCCUGUGGUUUAGCUUAUUUUGACUUUGCUCUUUGUGGUUCAAAACAGUUAUACUUAAUUAUUCUGAAGUUUAGCUUAUUUUUACUUUGCUGCCCUUCAGCGCAAAAAAAUUAUAUUUGACUAUUCUGUGGUUAUUAAAAAAAAAAAAAUUGCAUCAACGUUCUAUUUGACGUAAACAUUUUGGAUAAAAAUCGACAUAAAAUUACAGGAUAAUUAAGUACAACUUUUUGAACCAUAUGAUGAUAAAGUAAGACUAAACUAAACAACAAGGGUUCAAAUUGAAGUUUACCCUUAAUUCUCUAGGGGUAAAUUGGGCCUUUGGUCCUCAAACUAUAUAUAAGACGCGUGACAUUUUAGUCCUCAAACUUUAAUUAAUAAUAAUUUUUGGCGUGAAACUAUGAGGUAUGUGAUAUUUUAAUUUUCAAACUUUUCAAAUUGUUACGUUAUCCCUCUCGAUGAUGUAACAAUAAUUAAAAUACUAUGUUAUUUUGAUAUUUGUAAUUUAUCAAUAUUUAUUCAAUAAAAAUUAAAUUGUGAGACAUGAUUACAACAAUUCAAAAUGUUCGAGGACUAAAGUGGUACACACCUUAUAAUUCGAACUAGAAAUUACAACUAAUCAAAAUUCGAGGACUAAAGUGCUGUGCGCUUCAUAGUUCGAGCCAAAAAUUAUAACUAAUUAAAGUUCGAAGGUACUGCGAGGACAAAAAAUAUAAUUUAUGAUUUUAUUUUUUUUUUCAAUACUAGAAACUUAAAAAGAGUUUUGUGACUUGUGUGAUGAGAGUAAAGAGUAUUUUACAAUUAUAUAAAGAUGUACAUGUUUUAUUUUUAUUUUAUUUUAUUUUAUUUUAUUUUAUUUCUUUUGACAACAAUUCAAUUAAACUAUUUAGAAAUUAUUUUUUUUGUUUAAAUUACAUAGAAAUUCAAAUGAAUUCUAUUCUGCUUUGCUGUUAGAUCAAAAUUUUUUCGAUAUAAUUAUUUUUUUUAAAAUUUCUUUCUUCAAUAAUAUAGUAAAAGAGAUACUAUACCUAGUUUAAGGAGAAAUAUUUUGAAUAUAAAUAAUAGCAAAUGAAAACUUAAACCAUGGUACUUGAAUGAGUGUUAUUUGUACGGCGAAAAAUACCAUCAAAUCUUUCUGAAGGAAUUGAAUUAUUAUUAACUUGUGGUGCCAAACAGUGGAUUUUAGAAAAAUUAAAAUUUUAUUCUUUCGAAUUUUAUAUUUUGAGAUAGUCAAACGGACAAAAUGUUACGCAUUUGACUGCAUUAUAUUACAACUGCAUACAAAUUCAAAUAUAAUUUUUCGAUCGCUACAUUUGAGUCCAAAUGCAGUAAUUAGCGAAGAAUCGUGUCAUUCAGCUACUACUAAUUUCUCCUCAAUUUCUCUUAGAAGAAAUUUUAACAAUAUCUUGUUUAUUUCUAGAGGACCAAAAUAUUCUUGUUGGUUUAAAAAAAAAAAAAAUCAAAUAUCCUCAUUUUCUUUUAGGGAUUUAAUUAUUAACAAGAUUGAAUUUUAGAAGAAUAUUUUGAUUAUUUUAGAAUAUAUUUGAAAAUUUUAAAUAGCAAUAAAAGAUGAAUAAGAAAAGGGCUCAUUAGAAUAUAUGUUAUUUAUUGAGUACAAUUGGUAUAAUGAAGAUUCCUUUAUUAAUGUGAGAGGGACAAAAAUUUGGUGGGCAUCCGUCCCCAAAUAACUUGUUUGGGGACGGAGCUGAUGGGCGCAGCCUGGUGUACAGGCGUCCAUCACGACCACCCCCUUUCCACCACGGCGCCGCCCCAAACAAGUUGUUUGGGGAUGGAUGCCCACCAAAUUUUUGUCUGUGUGAGAAUUGGGUAGUAAUAAAUGUGACAUUCCACAUGUGCUACACCAAAUUCAAGAAAUAAUAUCUGUAGCUCAGGGGAUAAGGUUAAAAUAAAAAAAACAAUAAAUAACUAGGUAAAUUUUAAUUAGUCCCACGUGGUUUAAAUACGCCGUCCAUUUUUAUAGAUUUAGUUACAAUAUUUUAUAUAACUUUUGCAACUAUAAAUUUAUUAAAAUAAGUAACUAACUUAAAGUUUGAUGACGAAGUUUCAUUGACUGAUUCAAAUCAUGCAACUUGGAAAAUUGGAGAGUAAAAUCAAAUUUUGAACGGUUGGAUAGGUGAUUCAAAAUGAUUCAUAAUUCAUAUCAGUUUUAUUCGUUUUUAUUGUGGUUUAAUAUAUUUUCGCUUGUCAAUCUAUGUUAUGAAAAAAUUUUGCUUUGCUAGUCUGUAAUUUUAUCUUUAUUCUGUUGUAAAAAGCAAUUGUUCCACGAGAUAUUAAUAUAAUAUAUUUGGUAAAUUAUAAGGUGGCUAAAUGAAAAUUAUAAGCUAAUAAAAUUCCACAGUUCGUUACCGUUGGCGUUGCGAACCGAAGUCACACAUUGUUGACCGAAUCAAAUCGUUGACUAGGUUAAACGGGCCUACAGGUUGUGGAUCGGCUCUGGAUUGACCCUCGAGUGUGCCUCGAAAUCAAGUGAUCGGGUUGAGGAGGGAUCAGCUUAAUCGGGUUCUCUCACUCUCUACUCGUAGAAUGAAGCGACAAGACAAACUUGGCUGAAAGAUCCGAACUGAUUAUAUUCACUCUGCUGAAAAUACUUACAAGGAUUACAGUAGUUGACUAAAGCUACUCCUAAAAAGCUAUUAAAAACUGAAAAUGGAAAGAUUGAUGGCUAUUCCUAGCUAGAAAAUGGUAAUUGCUGGAAUUGAAAGGAAUUUGAAAACGCUGUGAUAGCUUGUUUGCGUGAAGAGCCCUUAUUGCAGGCGCGUUUGACAUCUUCUGCCUACGGUAUUGGAUAAUUGGCAUUGUAUAGGAUAAUUCGGCUGCAUCCCCUGUUUUUACGGAUGUACUUGGGCGAGUAGCUUCCUGGCUACGAAAUUUCUUCUCCCUGUUCUUAACCGUUGCUGCCCAAAUCCCGCUGGUAUCCAGGCGCUUCUUUUUCGGAUCCUGGUGUACCAUAUAUCAUUCCCUGAUUUGUCCAUGUCAGCUAGCCAUGUUGACCGAGCCAUUUACCACGUGGUGCCACUUUUUCGGCGCCAGUAGCUACUACGUGGUGUAUAAAAUAUAUCAUUUUACUCUCCCAUAUUUUGUAAAUUCUGACUUUUUGUUACCUCACUUGCAGUAAUGCAAAGAGAAAAUUAUAGAAUAGCAAAGUCAAACAUUUUAGACAAGGGAAAGACGGAGGAAAUGCGCUAAACUACAAAAGCUAAUUACAUUAUCUACAUGCUGCGUAUAUAUAUAGGAUUAUACCUGAAUCCUAGUAUAAUUAAAAAUAAUAAAUUUAGUAUAUCUCUAAACCUAAACGGAUAAAAAAUAACUAAAUAAUCGGAUUCAAAAUAGAAAAGUAUAAUUUUUUUUGAAAAUAACCUAAAACAGCAAAAACGAAGGCCUAAAUACUUCAAUUUGGAUUCCAAACUCAGUAGUUGUUGUUCAAUGCAAUAGGAUCUCAAAAAAUAUUUUUCGAAUUGGGGUUGUACGCUGAAAACAAACACUCUGAAACUUAAUUUCCCAUUCCUUAGAUUACGCCAAAUCGAAUAUAUAGAACAUUAUACACGAGUAAAUAUGCAGAAGAGAGUUAAGCAAAGGUAUUUGGGAUAAUAUCUAAUAAACUCUUCAAAACUUUAAAAAAUCUUAUUUAUUUCUGUAGGAUCAAAAUAUCCUUAUUGAUUAUAAAAAAACUUUUUCAAAUAUCCCCAUUUUCUCUAGGAUUUUGAUAAUUUUAGAGUAAAUUUAAAAAUUUUGGAUAGCUGUAAAAUAAGCAAAAGCCUCUUUGAUACUUUCAUAUUAUUUUUAAUGAUAGAGCAUUGAAUAUCAUCUCCCACGUGUGAACUUCUUAAUGAAGCAAAUUUUAUAAUUUUGUGAUAUUCUUUUAUGGGAUAAUUGCCUAUAUACCUCUCAUGCGUCUGGAAAUAUCCGAUCUACUCCUACUUUUUUUUUCUUUCUAAAAUGCCCCUCAUAUAUUCCACCGUUAUUCCAAAAUACCCCUGCAGUUAUCCCUUGUUAGCUUAACUCGGGUUAAACAUGGGUUAAAUGUAUACUAGAGUUAAAACCUAUAUAAAAUACCUAUUUUACCCCUACCUUAUUAUUCUAAUCCCUUAAGUUAUCCUCUUCCUCUCCCAACUUGAUCGCCUCCUCCGCCUCUACCUUGCCGGCUUCUCCGCCUCCACCUCGCCUCAUCUACUCCACUCCCAGACCACUACCACCUCUCACACCUCCACCUCCAACACUACCUCUCUCGUCGCUCUCGUCGUCCUCCUCCUCCGCCACUCUCGUCGUCGUCCUCCUCCGUCGCCCUCGACUUCUUCUUGUCCCUCCGCGGUGCCGUCCUCUCCGAGCGCUUCCGCUGGGGUGACCGCUUCCGCCCCUUGGUCCCCUCCCUGCGCGCCUCCGCCGCCGCCGACCCCUCCGCCCUCUCGAAGCGCAAGCUCCGCGUCCUCCUCUUCUCCCCCGGGCCCCCUCCCUUCCAGGAUGGGGUAGUCGCCCGAGUCGUGGCCCAUCUAGCCGGACUGGAUCCAGAGGAGGCCGACGAGGGCGCCGGACAGCAAGUGGGCGAGCGGGGAGGGGGAGAGACGGACGAGAAGGACGGCGGAGAGGGGGAGCGCGAGCAUAGCGAGGAGGGAGAGGAAGGGGAGGAGCGGGGAGGGGUGGAAAAGGCCGAGGCGGGAGAACUCGGAGCAGAGCCAGCGGUAGUCGGCGGAGGCCGGGAAGACGGCCGGGUCCGAGAGCCGGACGACGAGGAAGCGGAAGAGGAGCGGGAAGGCGGACGGGGAGUGUUGCGCGGUGUUGAGCGCGGAGAGGAGCAACCGAUGUGCAUGGUCCACGAGGCCAGUUUGGCCUCGUGGACCGGAUGAGAGGGAAGUCCGCGGUGGACCUCCCUCUCAUUUUAUAUAUAUAUAAAUAUAUAAAUAUAUGUAUAUAUAUAAUUUUAUUUAUAAAUUUAUAAUUAUUUAUUAAUAUUUUUAAAUAUAUAACUCUUAUAUAUUAUUAAUAUAUAUUUAUUAUAAUUUUAAAUAUAUUUAAUCUAUAUAUAAAUAUUAUAAUAAUAAUAAUAUAUAUAGUAUAAUAUCAAAUUUUUAAAAAUUAUAUAUAAAAAUUAUAUUUGAUUCCGAAUUUUUAAUUGGUGAACGUAUAAUACCCGUAUAAAUCACGUAUCCGAAUAACUGCCGAAUCCGUUUUUUAGCCGUAUUUUUCAACGAAUUUAAAAAAUAAAAGACGAAUUUUAUCCGAAUUAUAUCCGUACCGAAUUUUUGCCAAAUUCGAAUUAGCUAACUAUGCCUCCAGCCACCAAGGUUGGUUUAGCUGCAAUCGAUCUCAUCCAUUCAUUUACUUGCUCCCGACGCUAAUUAAUUAAUUGAUAUUUGAAGGGCAAAUAAGAAAAGUAUUUGCUAUAUGAAGGGUAUAUAAGAAAAGUUAGUUACGGUACAAGGGUAUAUUGGAAUAGGUAAAAUGGUAAUUUUUCAGAGAUAAUGGCAGCUCACUAACGGAACUUAACUACAGGGAUAUAUUAGAAAGACUUGGAACAUAAGAAGAGUAUUUUCAAUAUUAGCCUUUUAAGAGGGGUAAAUAAGAAAACCGAGAACUUUUCAGGAGUAUAUAGGCAAUUGCCCCUUUUUUUAUUUACCUAUUAUUAAGGGAAUCAGUUUUUUUAGAAAAUUAUAAAAUUUGAGUCUUAUAAUGUUGGAGGGAUAACCCAGAACAAUGCAUAAUAUCCUCCUUUAUCCCCCCAAACACAAUGCAAAAUGGAAUAUCUCCCUUGUUCUGGGUUUAACGGGUUAUUCCUGAAUAACCCGUUAAGUCCAGUUCUCCUUUACAUGAAGAACAAGCUAACUAGAACAGAAAAUUUUAUGCUACUAAAUUAAUGUUUCUAAGGUGAUUUGUAAACAUACCAAAUUUGUGAAAUAAUCUGCUCUUCUAUAUUUAAAAUUAUAUAUUUAUAUUUAAUUUUAAUUAAUUUUAAACAUAAAAUUAGAAGUAUAUUUUUACUGCUAUAUUCAAAAUUAUACUAUCUAUAUCUAUAAUCUAUAAUCUAUAAUNGCCACCAAGGUUGGUUUAGCUGCAAUCGAUCUCAUCCAUUCAUCUACUUGCUCCCGACGCUAAUUAAUUAAUUGAUAUUUGAAGGGCAAAUAAGAAAAGUAUUUGCUAUAUGAAAGGUAUAUAAGAAAAGUUAGUUACGGUAUAAGGGUAUAUUGGAAUGGGUAAAAUGGUAAUUUUUCAGAGAUAAUGGCAGCUCACUAACGGAACUUAACUACAGGGGUAUAUUAGAAAGACUUGGAACAUAAGAAGGGUAUUUUCAAUAUUAGCCUUUUAAGAGGGGUAAAUAAGAAAACCGAGAACUUUUCAGGAGUAUAUAGACAAUUGCCCCUUUUUUUAUUUACCUAUUAUUAAGGGAAUGAGUUUUUUUAAAAAAUUAUAAAAUUUGAGUCUUAUAAAGCUGCGUUUAGUUGGAGGGAUAACCCAGAACAAGGCGUAAUAUCCUCCUUUAUCCCCCCAAAUACAAUGCAAAAUGGAAUAUCUCCCUUGUUCUGGGUUUAACGGGUUAUUCGGGAAUAACCCGUUAAGUCCAGUUCUCCCUUACAUGAAGAACAAGCUAACUAGAACAGAAAAUUUUGCCUUUUUUUUUUUUUUUUUUUUUUUCUGUUAUGCCCUUUUAUUCCCUUUAUACUUUAUUUUAAUUAAUUUCAAAUACAUCAAAUGAAUGCUCAAAUUUUAUGCUACUAAAUUAAUGUUUCUAAGGUGAUUUGUAAACAUACCAAAUUUGUGAAAUAAUCUGCUCUUCUAUAUUUAAAAUUAUAUAUUUAUAUUUAAUUUUAAUUAAUUUUAAACAUAAAAUUAGAAGUAUAUUUUUACUGCUAUAUUCAAAAUUAUACUAUCUAUAAUCUAUAACUAUAUAUUAUUCCUCAAUAACUGCACACGUGUCGCGAGGAGGCCGCGGCAUGGGCGAGGGCGGGGGGCGCCGGCGGCCGCGGGCGCUGGCGCGGAGCGGGAGCGGGCGUGGUGCGGGNCGCGAGGGCGCGAGCGCGGGGCGCGGCACGGCGCGGCGCAGCGCGGAGCCGAAAAAACAUCGGGGCUCAUAGGGGUGGUGUUCACGGGGUCCACGAGGCCGAAGUGGCCUCGUGGACCACAUGAGAGGGAGGUCCACGGUGGACCAUUUAAAUUCUAAAAUUAAUUUUUAUAACUAAUUUUUAAAAUUAAAUUUUAAAAUAACUACCCGCAGCAUCGCGCGGGUCCCUUAACUAGUUAUAUAUUAAUUCUAUUUCGAUUCUCAUAUAUUGAAAUAUAUUUUAUUAUUAUAUUCAAGAGCAUAAUUGUCAUUUUACUUAAUUUUUAUAAAUCCAAUACCUUAUUCCAACAUAAACAUUCAAACACGAUAUAGGAAUAUUCUAGGAAUAAACAAAUAACAUCCAAACGUAAUUUAGAACUUGUUCUAACUUAUUCUCGAGAAUAACAAAAGCUAUCCUCCAAAAUUUAGUUAUCGCACCAAACGCAGCCUUAGGAAGUUCGAAUUUUGUAGAUCAAAUUUAUUGAAAUUAAAAAUAAAUAUUAAAUCUUAAAUUUGCAAAUUUUCAAAUUCAAAUGUAUUGGGGAUGUAGCUCAGAUGGUAGAGCGCUCGCUUAGCAUGCGAGAGGUACGGGGAUCGAUACCCCGCAUCUCCAAAUUUUUAAAGCUUUUUUUUAAAUUUUGAAAUUUUUUUUUUUCAAAUUUAAAAAUUUGUCUAAAGUUUUGAUCAAUGCGUAGAACCAAAAAAAUGUUCCACUUUGGCAUCUAAUAAGGGUUAAUUCCGUUUUUCAAAUUAUAAAAUUUGAUUCUUAGGGAGUUCGAAUUUCGUAGAUUAAAUCUAUUGAAAUUAAAAAUAAAUUUUAAAUUUUAAAUUUUAAAUUUUAAAAUUUUUAAAAAUUUAAAUGUAAUGGGGAUGUAGCUCAGAUGGUAGAGCGCUCGCUUAGCAUGCGAGAGGUACGGGGAUCGAUACCCCGCAUCUCCAAAUUUCUAAAGUUUUGAUCAAUGCGUUGAACCCAAAAAAAUGUUCCACUUUAGCACCUAAUGAGGGCUAAUUCCAUCAUUCGUCCCCAACAUUUUAUUUUUUUUGUAACCAGGCCAUUCAAAUUUUAAAAUUUGUCCAAAAUUUUUGAUUUAUUUAUUAAAUGAAAAUGCUGCAUCUCUAAAUAAUUUUCAAACUUAAUUUUUUUUGUUUUCAAUUUAUAAAUUAUGUACUGAACCAAAAUGGCCCAUUUGGCUUCUAAUAAAAGAUGGCUAAGAUACAUAUAAAUAUCUAUUUUGUAUUUGAACCCCUUAUCUUUUAAAAAUUUCUACUUUACUCCCUCGAAAUUUAAAAUUAUGGCCCUUAACUUGACACUCUUGCUUCUUUGUCUCUAUUCUGUGCAUACAUUAUAUGGUACAACUGGAUAACAAUUAAUAAACCUAUUUAGUUUGUAAAUUUUUAAAAAACUUAUUGCUAAAUAUUAGGAGAUCUUUUUCAUAAAAUUAUGGAAAAGCUUCAAAUACCACCCCUGUGGUUUCACAUUUUUUCACUUUAACAUCCCGUAGUUUAAAGUGUAUCAAUUUAGUAUCAUCUGGUUUGGGUGCUAAUUAAAGGGCCUAAUUAAGGAAAAGUUAACGUUGGGAAUUCCAAUGUUAACUUUUCUCAUUGUUCACAUAGUGCAAUAAAAACAUUGGAGAAAACAAGUGAAAAAAAAAAAAAUUAUUUUAAGGUUUUCAUCAAUUUUUUAUUUUCUUGAUUCUUUUGUUGCUGGGUGUUGAAAGAAUCUCCGUCAACCUCUUCCGCGUUCGUACUCAUAGGAGGAGGAAUUCCAGUCCUAUCUUGGGAUGGUUUUCGGUUAAUCCCGCACGAAGGAUGAGAAUAUACACCUUACGGCAGUGCCUCACACGCUUCCGGAUCAAAUUGUUUGAUAUUAUUCUUCCACAAAUUUUAGAAUUUAGCGAUCAUCUAUCAGUUAAAUUUAUUAAUUUCAUUACGAAAUUAGUUAGAUUUUAUCACAAUCGGAUUUUUUGUCGCGGUUUUUCCAACAAAAAAUAAGCAAUUUGGAGACCACCUGAAUAAUAAGUAAAUGAUAUCAAAAAAUCGUGAAAUUCAGACUCUAAAAAAUUCAAAUAUUCUAAAUCAAGUUUCACGGUGGAUAAUCGUCGAUUCAGAUGUAUGAUGAGGAAGUAAACACCACCUUUUUACUUGUAGAAACAUCUAAAUUUGUUCCAUAUACAAUGCACAAUUUACCUUUCAUCACAAGCAGGAAAGAGUAUAUAAUCUUAUUGACAGUAAAAAGAGUUCCACAGUGCAUAAAAACUGACGUAAACCGGCCUCGAAUUCCCUCUAGGCCUUCAAAUUUUCUUUUUCUUCUAACCUCAAUAUGUACAUUUCUCUUAAACAUCUUCAGUUACGCCACAAUUCGAUCGAUUCCGAAAAAGAGUAAAAAAAAAAAAAAAAAAAAAAAAAAAGCUUACACUGAAUCGACGACUUCGGUUGGUUUGCGACGACAUCUCAUUCACCUCGAUUUCGUGGCAUUUAGGAAUACGCAAACUCACCUCUUCGAGUUUUGAGGAAGGGGGUACGCAAUUACGCGCUAAGCUUUUGGGAUCGAGCGUGCUGAGAUCCCGUGUAGGAGUUUUACGAAUCCGAGGAAGCUGAGUUUUCCGUCGUUAUGUCUGAUCCAAUCUUGGAGAACGACGUGAACGGGCACCGAAGGGCUAAGCCCGAGUUCCUGGUUAAAACAUGCAACUACUGUUAGAAAGAACAUAAAAAAAGAAAUUGGGGACACCUAUACAACUUUAAUCUAAGGACAAUAACAACAGUUGCUAAUCUAAAUAAAUUUCAGGUUAAAAUGAAAGGGAGCUCUCGGAAUGUAGUGCAUUUAGAUGUAAAUUGAUUUAAUCUUCAUUUCUUUUCAUAUGAAUGCAACGAUAUGUCCGAAGAGAUUUGCAUGAAGGAUUAAUGGGGAUUUGAACAUUGUUUUGAUUCAUGCCACAAUUUAAGUGUCGUGGUACAGGAUUGUGCCAAGAACUUGCUGGCGUGCCGUACUGUACAGACGUGUGCCUGUCAAAAAACAUACCCAUGCGUCGCCACACUAUGACAUGACAUACUUAUUUUGGUGUCAUGCGGUGCCGAUGUGUGUCAGUCACAAAAAUGCCUCUCUGCGGACGCACUAUGACAUGACAUAUUUAUUUUCGUUGGCAUCAGUAUAUUUUAAUUGCUUGUUAUAUAUUUUUUACACUUUAUUGAGAUAAAUGCUUGCUAGCUUCAAAGAAAAGAAGAUGUCGAGCUCUGCUGUUGACACGAGGGUCGUAUCGCGCAGAUAUCUUGCUGGCAUAGUAUAGCACAGUGGGCACGGCUCGUACCGAUGGGCACUUAAAACCGUGAACUUUCGAAGUUAAGGGAGAUGCUCGAAAAUGAUCUAUAGUAGGAGUUCAUCGGUUUUUUAACCUACAAAACCUGUUAUUUGAGUCUUACCGAUGCAAGUUCCUCGAUCAUGAUAGGCCGGUUGCCGUCCUUUUCGAAAUAUUCGUAUGCGCUGCGAGCAUGCUGCUCCCAGGUAUCCAAUCCUUCCAUUUGAUAAACACUUACGGCCGAAGCGGCGAAUUCUUCAAAAUCAAGCUUUCUGUACUGAAGAGAGCUCACCUGAAAAGCAAAAUCGGACAUGAAUAAGAGCACCAUUUUUCUCAAACUUGUUUAAAAGCAAUUAGGUCUAAGUAUUUGAGCCUACCGUGUUAACAAAAUCAAGAACCCUUGAAUCCUUCAUCGCCUCGGUUGCUUGUUUCAUCAAGGCCUGUAAAUGGCGACUUAUGUUAGAAGCCCGCGAGUGGAAAUAAAUACGAUGAAUAUAGUAAGUGCCUUUUUGGCCCAGUUAGAACUUCUCGCAAAAGCAGUUUCAGCAUAGCAGUUUGAAAAGGUACUCACACCUUUUUUCGUCAAGUUAAAAUUUCCCAACUUUCCACUAUAUGAAAAAUUGAAGUUUCAAAUUAGAGCUUCUGUUUUAGCGACCUUGAAGGCCGCAUUAGCUUCCUGCUAUAGCAAAAGCUCCUAAUUAUGUAUUUGCCAAACACUAGGGCCUGUUUGUUUGGGUGAAAAUGGAGAGAGGGUGAAGCGUUUUCAGCCGUAAACGAUCACUUCUGUUGUUUGUUUCGCCAUAAUAAAGAUACGGUUGAAACACAGAGUUAUCCGAAACAGCGUAAUUGAGUCCGGGCCGAAGUCAAUUACGGUGAAAAGAUGUGAAGGAAAAAUAAUAAAAUAAUAAAAUUAUUUUACUAUUAUAUUAUUAUAGGAAUUAAUUAUAUUAUUGUUAUUUAUUAUAAUAUAAUAAUUUAUUAUUUAUUAAGUUAUUUAUUAUUUAUGUAUAAAUUAUUGUUUUAUAUCAUUCACUUUCUGCCAAACAAACAGCAGAACUGAAGAAACUUUACUUCCAUAACUAUGGAACAAACAGCAAGGGAGAAGUAGUUUUCAUCGAACUCCACUUCAACCCAAAAUCCACUUCACAACUCAAAGUCCAGUUUCGGUGAAACAAACAUGUCCUAAGCUAGUACUACUUUUUGGAGCAGAGAAACUAUUAAAAGAGCCAUUCCAAACAGGCAUUGAAUCACUUACCGCCUUUAAAUUCAGUAAGGAAAUAAAGCCGCUCUUAUUCGGCCCGAGCAAUCCGAACUGUUCUCGGAGAUAGAAGAGCUGGUUCACGGUCAACGUCUUGGCAAGUGCCUGGAAAAUGUUCAAGUAUAUCAAGCUAUGUCAACAUAGUCGAUAAAUUCCAAUUAUUAAAUAAAAAAGGAAACAAUGUUAAAUGAUCGAUUAAAAGAGUUCGCUCAAUCAAUUUCAUGGAAAGGGGAAAAAAAAGCAAAUAAGUCGAUAAUUUGUUAGUAAAUGUUUUGAAAAUGUUUACAUCAAGAUAAACAUCUUCGUUCUCCAUUAAACUAUAGGGCAAAUGAAUCGAAUAUAAACCAAUCACACGGUUCUGAGCAAGCAAAUGGAGGAGACAUUAACAAGUUUUGAAUUACCAUUCGAUAAAAGAAACUGAUAUAUCAAUUGAAGAAACAUUUUAAUAAGAUAUCGCACUUUAAAGUUAAUAUCUACGGCUUUUUAACUACCCACAAGAUCAAGUGAACAAUCAUAAGGCCUGUUUGUUUGCCCGUAAAUAUUUUUCAGAUUGAAAAUGACUUUCAGUUGAACCGAAGUUCGGGUGGAAAAAAAUUUUCCCACCAAUAAUUUCGGAACAAGUAGGAGCAUUUUUUUUUUCUUCUUUUUAAGGAAUCGAUUAGGAUAAUUAAAACCAGGGCGAGGACGGAACAAUCAACAUGGCAUAUUUGUAUAGAGAUUAUAAACUGAUUUUUACCCGCAAAGCUGAUUUCCUUAGAGAAGACGAACUAAUGUAAGCUCUCAUGAGCUUGUAAGUUAAGAUGUCGAGAGGAAUCCUCACUUCUUGAGCCUCGCGAAUCCAAGGAUGGCCUGCGUUUUAAAAUGAAACCAAAGUAUUACUUUUAAGUAUAUAACACUACAUUAAGCAAUCACAAGGCCACGAGGAAUUUACAUAGAGCUUGUGAAGCCGUCAUUCUCUUGCGGUAAUCCUUAUUGAGCAACCUCCUGACGAAGUCUUUCGCUUCGGCAGAGAGGGACGGCCACGGAGGUUCGUCGAAGCUCGGUUCGGCUUUUAGAACUGCUCGGAAUAUGCCCGAUUCGGUGCGGGCCCAGAACGGGCGGCUCCCGCAGAGCAAAAUAUACACGAUUACUCCGAUGCUCCACAUGUCAGCCUCAGUUCCGUAAGAUCGAUGAAGAACUUCCGGCGCAACGUAGUAUGCGCUACCGACAAUGUCAUUAAGCCUUUCGUCUGCACAAUUCGAGUAAUGGGAAAAUGAAACCCAUAAAAUCAUCAUUAAAAUGUAAUAGUUCGAGAGGAAAAAAAGUGAAAUUCCCAAUUAUUAAAAAAAAGAAAAAGAAAAAAGAACUAACCUGGCUUAACAAAGUCAGAUAGGCCAAAAUCUAUGACCUUCAGGGUUGAAUUAUCGUCCUUCGAAGAGAAAAGGAAAUUCUGAACAACCAACAUAAUGGAUUAUCAAACACAGUUCAAACAAGGUACACCACAAUGAAUGUUAAAAGAGUACUCGCGCAAGGGUCAUUUGAUUUAGGCUCAUAAAUAUAUCCACACCAGAAUUUUACUUGGGGCAUAAAUAAGCAUUUUUACCAUUUAUUUUUGAUUUUGCGAUUUCGGUCUAAAAUAUUCUAGCACGGACCAGAACGCCUCUCGCUGAAGCUCUACUACACAACCUUAUGAGCGUUAAAUAAUGUAAAACAAUCAUUAUUCUCCAAAAACUUAAACUACUAGAGAAUGGUAUUUUUAAUGAAUCAUUAUUCUCCAAAAACUUAAACUACUAGAGAAUGGUAUUUUUAAUGUUUAUAUUCAACACUUUCCCUCACAUCUGAGCUCGAGACAUUUUAAUAGGCCCAAGAUGUGGACUUGAAUUAAAUGGGAAGAAAUUAGUAGUACUAAGGGCCUAGCGGGACUCGAACUAAGAACCUCUUACUCUAAUACCAUGUUAAAUAAUGCGAAACAACCGCUAUUCUCCAAAAGACUAAGCUACUAGAGAACGGUGUUUUUAAUAUUAAUAUUCAACAAUCAGAAGAUGGCAAUUAAGUAUUCACUCCAUAAAAGAAAACAUUAGUUCAUAGUGAACCAUAGCUACAAAAACCAAAAAGAAGUGGAUUAUGUUGAAAAAAAAAAAAAAAUCAGAAACAAACAAUUUCCGUAUGAUGUUGUUUGAGUAAUGCAGUACCUCCGGCUUGAGAUCUCGGUGGACGACACCUUGAAGAUGGCAGAAAGAUACGAUGCUCAAAAUUUGAACCAUUACGGCUUUCGCAUCUUCUUCCGAAUAUUUCCCACCCCUAGAAUGAAUAAAAGUUAUUCCUCAUCUAGGAAUAUUUUUAAUGGUUAAUACUUGUACUAAACCAGUACUACUCUUACAUACAACAUGGAAAAUUGGAAAUAAAACAGAUAAUAUAUGAUUACGGAUAUCAAUGUACCUCGACAGUAUCCUGUCCAAAAGUUCACCUCCGGUACAUAACCUGAAUUAAAACAAAAUAGUCAAAAUAAGCUAUAAUUACUCGAACGAAGAAAUAGGUCACACACAUCUUCUGAAACAGUCAAUAGGUCUCAUAAUAGGUCUCGCACACAAACAUUAUAUCGCACUCACAACUCUCAACUACUUUUGACUAUUGGAACCAAACAACCCCUUCGGUACAAGACCGCGACACACAACAUCGAGUUAAUGAUCGAUUUGCAAGUUUGAACCAACGGUUGAACUUGCACACUGAACACUCAAAAGUAUGCAUUUAUAAUUCAAAGUUGCGCACCGAUCAUUUAAAACUAUGUGUACUAGUCUUUUAGUAAUGGAGCAAGUUUGGUACUAAAAGUUGAAAAGUAGACUAAGAAAAUCAUAUCUUUUUGUAAAGAUGGAAAAGAAGAAAAAACAAACACAUUUAAGAAAUAGCACGCCGACUAUCAAAUCACGAGAACGACAGCUGAACCAAAGCUAAUUCUUGUCCACUAGAAGCACGAAUAAGUCUUUCCUAGCAAAAAAUAAUUUCGCCUGUGGAAAGUUGAGAUAGAGCAAAUUUAAAGUAUGUAUUUGUUCAUGUAUCUCACCAUAGAAAUGUCAUAGUUUUAUGCUAAUAAUUUCAAAACCGGAUAAAUUAACUUUCUAGCGAAAACAGUAAGAAAUUGAAAAAGGAAGAAUGAAAUGCGAACUUACUCCAUGAUUAUAUACACAUUGUCUUCAUCCUCGUAAGCAUCAUGGAACUGCACAAGAUUUUUGUGCCCCGAGAGAGAACUCAAUAUUCUCACUUCCCUUCUAACAUCUUCAAUGGAAAUAGCUGUCGUCAUCUGCAAAAGCAUUUUUUUUUCAAUGAAAACAUUUUUAUUUUACAUAAAUUCGGGCAUGCUAUGAUCAUAAAUGGAAUCGAUACUGCAAUAUAUUCAUCAUGGUAUAAGCUUCAAGAAAAUAAAUCGAAAGAUGCAACUCAAUGUUCCUUUUCUUUCCCUGACAUUUAAUCUUCCACUCAAUUCUGAUACUUUUCUUGGUGAGUAUUAGUAUUGAACAAAAGGAGAAGAAUAGGUGAGAAAAAAUAAAUAAAUAUUUUGUUGCGAAUGAUCAUCUUCGUCACAAAAUAUGAAGAUGCAAAUAAACAUCCAAUAGCUAACGGCGAAAGGAGAAGAUACCAGAUUAAUCAUGUGGCGCAAAUAUAUGAACAAAAUGCAGUAUUCCUUAGAUGCGAGCUUUUAUCUUAAAACAAAACGAGGAAGUUGGCUUCUUUUUUCUUUUUUUUUUUUUGAGACAAUGAAGUUGGCAAAAGGUAGUGAUAAUUCUAUUUAAUUUCGCUGUAGGAUCCACCAAAUUGAAAAGGAGAGCUAGUAAAUUCGUGUGUGACUUCGCACCAAACUAAAUGCUAUUACUAACGAACUACAGACAUUUUAAAAAAGAUGGCAAAUUUACUCUGCAGAUCUGGACAAAAAUGACAAAUUUCUUUCAAAGAACAACAAACAAAUUUACGCACUAUAUAACACGAAAGCAAAAAGUAAUCGGAUCAAUAUAGCAAUUUCAACAUCGAUCUAAAUCAUAUAUAUAUAUCUUCGAAACAUGAAAGUAAAAAAGACAAGUAGAUCGCAUACUUCCGAAUUCUUGGAACUCCCGGACUAGAUCACAAAUAUAGAUAUUCAACGCCGAUAAAGAGCAAUGCUAUAGAAAAGAUCGAGAAUUGUAACAUCUCACCGACCUUUGCCUUGGGAAUGACUUUGACGGCGACCUCCUCGCCCUUCAAUUCCCCCUUCUUCGCCCUCGCGGAGCAAGUAUACCCGAAAUGGCCCCUCCCCACCUCCUCCCCGAGAUCGUACUUCGAAAAGAAGUGCUUCGAGAACCCGAAAUUCUUAUCCAACCCUAGCUCAACCUCACUCCCCUCGGGUAUGGAGGCCUCGUUCGGCUUCACCGACCCGUGCCGCCGCGCGAGCAGCGCCUUAAUGUGCUUUGCCGGGGACGGCGGCGGGAAGGGCCGUUUGAAAAGCCGUAAAGGCGUGGAACUUACGCUCGAAUUGGCCGGCGAGCUUUUGUAGGAAGCAGGGAGGGGGCUGGGGAUGUAGAAGGAGAAUUUGGGCUGUUUCGGGGUUUGCGGCUUCGGAGGAGGGAGCUCCUCAAUGGUGGGGGGGUGUUCUACAUGGUUCACUACUGCUUCCUCUUCGGUUUCCGGGGUUUUUUGGAUUGGUUUUCCAUGGCAGAGCCCCAUGGGAGCAACACAAUCACACCCCCAAGUAAAUUGGAUCAAGGGUUUGGAGCCAAAUCACAGGAAAUUGAGCGAAAACCCAGUAAAAAUUUGAUCUUUUUCCCCUCUUCUUGUGGUUUCAACAAAACCCCAGUAAAAUUACAUGACCCUUCACAGAAAAAUAAAUAAACAAGCAAGCAAGAUCAGAGCUUGCUACAUACAAUUGCUGUUGGAAAGGGAAGAGCACAAAAAUGGAGGUUAAAAAUUGCAACUUUUAAAGAUUAGAGAGGAGAGAGAGAAGGAAUGAGAUUACCAAAGUUGGGGCUAAAUCUCCUGCACUUAUCAAUUUGGGAGAAACCAAGAUGGUGUAGAGAGAGAGAGAGAGAGAGAGAGAGAGAGAGGGGGUUGUGAAUUGGUAAAGGCUACAAAUGGAAGAUGCUGAAGAGAGAGAGAGAGAGAGAGGGGGGGGAAGGAAAGGAAAGGAAUCCCCUUUCUUUUGCUUUUUAGCUCUUCUUUGGGGCUGGCUGAGAGUGGCAUCUGUUUUUUGUCAUUAGAGAAGAGGAGGGGAGGGGGAAGAGAGAGAGAAAUUGUUUUUUUUAUUGAGAGAGAGAGAGAGAGUGAGAGAGAGAGAGAGAGAGAGGUAGCAGACUACCUGCAUUGUAUUCAUCUGUAUUGCUCAUUCUUUUUUAAAUAAACUCAGUUAAAAAUACGAAGCAAUAGAAAUUCAAACAUAAGAUUUCGGAUAUUAAUCAUUAAAUUUUUAACCAACAGUACUAAAUACAGUUAGUAAGAGAAAAGAAUUAUUUUUUUAUAAAAAUAAACUCAGCUAAAAGUAUUAAGUAUUUAGGUUUCAAACUUAAAAUCUCGAGUAUUAAUCAUCGAGUCAUUCGCCACCGGCUCUGCUGGAUACGGUCAAUGAGAGAAAUUUUUCUUCUUUAGAGAACGAUAGUAUACUAUCUGUUUUGUUCAUUUUUCUAAAUAAACUGAGCUAAAAAUAUAAAAUAAUUAAACUUUAAAUAGAAAAUUUUAAAUAUUAAUUAUUAAACUUUUAGCCAACUACACCACAUAUCGUCGAUGAGAGAGAAAGAGAAAUUUUUUUUUUUUUAAGAGAUAGAUAGCAUGCUAUCUGUUUUGUUUAUUUUAUUUAGAAAUAAACUUAGCUAGUAAUGUGAAUCAACUAAAAUUCGAACUUAAAAUUUUGAAUACUAAUUAUUAAGUGUUUUACCACUUGCGCUAGGGGGGGAGGAUUAUGAACUGUGAUGAUGUCUCAUUCACAGGCUGUCCUUUCAGCUCCCCCAAAAUGAAAUUGGGAGUUGUUGCACUUGCANAAUUAUUAAAUUUUUAGCCAACUACACUACAUAUCAUCGAUGAGAGAGAGAGGAAUUGUUUUUUUUUAAGAGAUAGAUAGCAUGCUAACUGUUUCGUUUAUUUUAUUUAGAAAUAAACUUAGCUAGUAAUGUAAAUCAACAAGGAUUCGAACUUAAAAUUUUGAAUACUAAUUAUUAAAUUUUUUAUCACUUACGCUAGGAAUGGUCUGUGUGAGAGAGAGAGGAAUUGUUAAUGCUGGGGGGAGGGGGGGAUUGUGAACUGUGAUGAUGUCUCAUUCACAGGCUGUCCUUUCAGCUCCCCCAAAAUGAAAUUGGGAGUUGUUGCACUUGCACUUGCCUUGCUUAAUCCCCCCUCUCUCUCUCUCUCUCUCUCUCUCUCUCUUUCUAGAAACCUCUCUCUCUAUAUAUAUUAUACAUAUAUUCUAUAGUCUCUUUCUCUCUCAUCUCUAUUUUUGUGCUUGAGUAUAUGUAGGAGAGUUGACCUUCAUUUGUGGGAUUAAAAAGGGCUCUCUCUUCAGUAGUUACCUCACUCUAUUAAGCUUGCAUGCCUGCAGGUCGACUCUAGAGGAUCCCCGGGUACCGAGCUCGAAUUCGCCCUAUAGUGAGUCGUAUUACAAUUCACUGGCCGUCGUUUUACAACGUCGUGACUGGGAAAACCCUGGCGUUACCCAACUUAAUCGCCUUGCAGCACAUCCCCCUUUCGCCAGCUGGCGUAAUAGCGAAGAGGCCCGCNUCUCUCUCUAUAUAUAUUAUACAUAUAUUCUAUAGUCUCUUUCUCUCUCAUCUCUAUUUUUGUGCUUGAGUAUAUGUAGGAGAGUUGACCUGCAUUUGUGGGAUUAAAAAGGGCUCUCUCUUCAGUAGUUACCUCACUCUAUCAAGCUUGGAGAAAAAAACAAUAAAUAAAGAAUUGUAAAAAAAGAAGGAAAAAAAAUGGUUUGGCUUGCUUGCCAAGGUAAAAGUAGAUUAACUUAAGUGCCUAAUUGGCUGAAUUUCUGCAAUGGUUUCUUCACUCAAGACAAUAAAAUUUUAGAAUAUUUGAAUAAUAAUAAAAAAGAGAGAGAGAGAGAGAGAGGGGGGGGAAAUAGAAGAAGAAUAUUUGAAUAAUUUAAAGAAAAUAUUUUUUUUUAUUUCUCUCCUAUAAUUAUUGAAAUUAUUUUUCCCAGGAAUACGAAAAUCUACCAAACAAAAGGGUUUGAUACGUUUAUUUUAUAUGCAUUUUGGGUAGAGAAACAAUUUGGUCAGAUUUCUGAAAGAAAAAAAAAUAAAAUAAACAGGCUUAAUUUCCAAAACUGAAAUUAUAAUCAGAACUCACAAAAUCUCAAAAUUACGUACUGAAAUUUCUGCGCAAUAGAGCCUUAAAAAUGUCCAAACUAACAUAUCAUAUGAUCUUUUGGUUUUCAAAUCAAUUAGUGUAUUUUAGAUCAUGAUUUAGUGAAAAAAAAAAAAAAAAAAAACUUAGCUUUCACUUCUCAUGUAAAGAAAUUGUAUGCUAGUGUGGUGAAAUCAAUUAUUGAAAGAAAAGGGAUAGAAAAACCUACUAAAAGAUUAGCUAAUCCAACUUUUAUAUCCUCUUGUAUGCUAGCGUGGGAGCUUUCAAUAAAAUAAAAUAGAAAAUAGCAAAACUUAAGUUUCGAAGCCAUUAAUUUCUCAUCAAACAAACAGCGGUAGAAAAUUAAUUUUUAUAUAAAUUAUAUCUCAACUAAAAGUUAAUUUUAGUAUAAUUUUAGCAAAUAGUUAAGUGUAUGAUUGUUUUCCCACAAACUAGCUCAAAAGAAAGGAAAAAAAAAUCCAAAAAAGGGUAAAAUUGUAUAAAACUUACCUAAAAUAUUUACAAUUUUGAUAUGGUUGGGCACCUAACACUUCAAUUUAUUUGAUUUCGUCAGUCAACGGCACUUUGACUUUAAUUUGUAUAGCUUUACAAAUUUAUUUAGCACACUUCAUACAAUUCUCGUAACUAUAAAUUCAUUAAAAUAAGUAAUCCGCCUAAAUUUUGAAGCUAAAGUAUCGUUGACCGACUCAAAUCAAAUAAAUUAAAGAAUAGAAUUAGUAAAAUCAAAAUUCCAAAAUGAGUCAUAAUUCAGAUAAAUUCUAUACAUUUUUAACCCCCUAGGUUAAAUUACAGAAAAUUUUCUUAUAAAUACUCUCUUUUUCACUUUUCCUCCCUAACUUUCAAAAACUUAUAUUUUACUCCCCUAACAUUUCAAGUUUGUGCAUUUAGCCCCUCCUCCGUCAGGGUUCAUUACUAUUUCGUCUAUUUCUUAUAAUUUAUAUCAAAAAUUUUCUUCAAAAUAAUAGAAAUAUAUUAAAAUUUAUUUUUUUCUUAUAAAAAAAGUAAGUAAUUUAGUCAUUUUAUCCUCUCCAUUAAUGCCGUACUCGCUAAAAUAUUUCCAAAAUUUUAAAAGGUCAAAAUAUAAAUUUUUAAAAGUAAAAAAAAUUUUAAAAAAAUUAAAUAUUUAUAAGAGAGUUUUCUAUAUUUUAACAAAAAAAAAAAAAACAUCACUUAUUAGAGAGAGUGGUAGUAAAUAGUAGCAUUAGUAGUACAAAAUUGUAUGGUGUCUUUUAAUCAGGGUCAUUUUGAUGGGGCACAUGCAGUUUCUCUCAUCUUUGUAUGGAUAUAAUGGUCACAUACAAGUCCCCACCACUUCAUAACUAUGAGUAGUUGGGAGGUGGGGCCCUCUUUAAUAGGCAGUUAAAACUUUUAAUUAAAUGAGGCUAUGCUGUCAGCACCACCCCCUUUGAUGGUAGCUGCAGGCUCCACCUUUCUUCCCCUAUCUAUUUGGGGUGCAUUCUUCCCUGGACCAUGUCUACUGGACCAAGCCAAUCAAAACACGACACAUAGGAUUGUCAGAUCGUCGGUGCUGACCAUUAAUCUCAAAAGCUCGAGCGGUUAGAAACACGCAACUAAUUCACCUAAAACGUACAGAUACAGCACCCACGGAUCUCGAUUGUGACUCAGCUCAAUCAGCCUCACGUAAUUUCGAACGUGACUCGACCCAAUCUGUCCUCCCAUCACCGGACAGGAUGCUGGCACCUUUAAGCCAACAAAGAUAUCCCCCUUCCCCACCCACUUUAGUUAGGGAAAUAUAUUGGACCUGAUUUGCCACAUGGUCUGAUUCGAAAAAUAAUUGUAUCUGAACCUAAUUAAAAUUGUUGAGCAAAUAAUAUAUUUAUUGUCUUAAAUAAAUAUACGAAACUGAUUUUUCAAUAAGUUAGGUUGAAAAUCAUAAUCGAACCAGAUUGGCUCUCCUAGUAUGUACUUUCAAAAGAGAUUCAAUAUAGAUGGUGUAACACUCUUCUAAAAAUCUCUUAUCCAAUCGGUUUUGAUCCGAAACUAGUAAUCUUUUCCUGCAAACCCUAUUUCUCGAACUUUGUUUGCGGUACGCCAAGUUCAUAUAAUAACUUCGUUUUAUACACGAUGAACGACGCCGAGUGGCGGUCCACGGAUGAUGUGGUAGAGCAUAUCCAAUCAACAAACAUGUAUAGUUCAAGCACUAAAUAGGGAGAUUAAAUAGGGUAGACGGGAAAACACAUGCAUGUAAAUAAAGCAUGUGAGGUAGGUUCACUUUUUCAAUGGAGUUGUAUCACACUUCAUAGUACAAAUCUCAAAGCUUGUGCUCUCUCUCUCUCUCUCUCUCUCUCUCUCUCUUCAAAGCAUCCUGGGAGAAACAGCAGUGUGGAAUUUGGCAACUGGUACUAUAAAUAUUGUGGAAUAAGUGUAUGUACUAUGACCUCAUUUUAUAUUUAUAUAUAUAUAUAUAUAUAUAUGUACAUCCAAAGAAUAGAGGAUGGUGGUUCAGAUAAAAGGAAAAGGGCAAAAAAACAAAGGGAAGAAGCAGCAGAAAAUAUAUAUAUUUUUGGAGUAGAGCUGUCAUGUGAAGCUUCACAGAAGAAAGACCUUCCAGUGUCUUCUAGAUGUUGAGUAGAAGAGAAAAGAAAGAAGAGAGAUUUGCAUCUCAAAGAAGCUCAACCAACUGUUUUAAGGGACCAGUUUCACCUAUUGCUUCUACUUUUAUAAGUAUCUGAUUUGUUACAUACUGUUACCUGUCGCUUCUAGUUAAGUGUCUGCUUCGUUCUGCUUCUGAUUUGGCUUGCAGCUAUACAGUUAUAGUUAUUGCUGGUAACUGACGGCUUUUGCUAUUAUGCGAAGCUGAAAUUAGAUUUUGAGCCACAGAAGGAUAAGUUGUGAUUUUGUGCUACUGGCUUUGCACUGCAGGCGAACCAUACAUGCCUUAAAAAGUGUUUACAUGAGUUGCUCAGAGGAACCCAAAUAAUACUUCUAUUUAGUUUGUUCCAAUAGGUUUUUGUUGCAGCUAGAAGGAGCAGAUGCUCCUUGUCGCAUAGAAGCUCCAUUCUAAUUUCUUUUUUCAUGGAUAGAAACAUCAAAUUUGAAUGUUAAACUUUUUCUCUCGACUAAAAAAAUAAGUAGAAAUUUUCUUUUGUCGGCUAAAUUUCUGACAUAGGCCAUCCGUAGAAUGUAGAUAAAUAAGAUAUAAUGUGAUAUAAAUGAUAACAAUACCUUUUUUCUAUAAUAAAAAAAGAAAAUAUAUGACACAAAAGGAAAUAAGAGAAUCAUUUAUAGAGGUUAACAACUUUGUUCUUCAAAAUCUCAAGUUAUUAGAAAGUACUAUUUUUAAUAUUUAUAUUCAACAUUCGUACUUACAUCUGGGCUUGAUAUCUUUUGUUACACGCACUAGAAUUAAACAAAAAAGAAAUUAAAUAAAAUUAAUAGUUUGACAGAUAUUUGAAUUUAGUAUUUUCUGUUUUGAUAUCAUACUAAAUAAUCUUUUGUCUCCAAGGCACCCCUUUUUUCUUUCCUUACACCCUGUUCGGUUAGGCCCUGUUUGGUUCGGGGGAUAAACGGGGAUAACGAAAGUUAUCCUCGCUAUUCCGCCAAACGGAAUCAUUUUUUAUCAGGAUAUUUUAUCUCGACCAAAGCUUGCUAUUCCCGGUUAUCCCGGAAUAGCAAGCUUUUUACUAUUCCACCAUUUUGGUGGAAUAGUGUUAUUCCAAUGCUUAAUUUUAAACUUAAUUAAAAUUAUAAAAUGAAUUAAAACUAAAUCAUAUAAAUUUAAUAUAUUAUAUAUUAUAAUACAUUAUUUUUAUUAUGAAAUUAUUAAUUGUACUAUAUUAAUACAUAUUAUUUAUAUUUAAAUAUUGUAAUAAAUUUUAUAAUAAAUUAUAUUUAAAUAUUAUAAUAAAUUAAAAUUUAAAAUUUAAAUAAAUUUAAUUUCUCUCUAUAUUUAAUUGAUAUUUUUUUUUUUAAAAUUUAAAUUUGAUCUUAAUUUAAAGUUUGAAUUUAAAUAUUUAAAAUUUUGAAUUUAAAAUUGAGAUUUUAAUUUUAAUUUUAUUUCAAGCAUUUAAAAUUUAAAGUUUAAAAUUUAUAAUUUUUAAAAUAUAAUAUUAACUAUAAAAAUUUAAAUUUUAUAUUAAAUAAAGGGAUAUAUUAUAUUUUUAAUUUAACUACCCUUUAAUUUUUAUUCAAUCUUACUCCUAACAACACUAUUUUUUUUAUUCUCAGAAUAAUCGAAUUUUAAUCAAGCAAAAUUUGAUCUAAUCCCCGUUAUACCUCACUUAUACUAUCCCUGGAAUACCCUUAUUUGCUUACCCCGAACCAAUGAUUACUUAGGGGCUAAAAAGGGGGGUAAGGGAUUAAUCCCCCUAAACCACUCGCGGCCCCCCCCCGCCCCCGCCCCCUCCCCCACAAAGAAUAGGGUGGGGUAAGUUAAUCCCGUACCCCUAUUUAAUUUUUAUAUAUUGUUAAAUUAUAUUUAAAUUAUUAAAUCUUUAAAUUAUAAUCUAUGUACAUCUUAAAAUUAAUAUUAUAUUUUUAAUUGAUUUUUAAAUUCUUAAAUUUAAAUUUAAAUUUUUAAGUUUAUAAAUUUAAAUUUAAAUUGUUAUUUUUGAUUUUUUAAUUUAAUAUUUUGUAUAUUUGAAAUUUAAAAUUAUAAUUUGUAAUUAUUGAAAAUAUAUUAUUUUAUUAUUUAUUUAGAAAGUUAAAUUUUUAUAAUUUUAUUUUAAAAUGUUUUUGUUAAUAUUUAUCAUUAGUAAUGAUUUUGUUAGUUAUUUAAAUUUUUAAAUUUGAGAUUUAAAAAUAAAUUUUAAUUUUGAAUACUGUAAUUUUAAAAGUUAUCUAUUUAAAUUAAAAAUUUUAAAUAUAAAAUAAAAAAUUUAAAUUCAAAUAUAAAAAUUAGGGCAAAAUCAUUAUUUUCUAUUUAUAACAACACACUAUCCUUCUUAUUCCAUCUACUCCAACCAAACACUAUUUUACUUAUACCUGAACUAAAUGCAAUUCUCAACCAAACACAAAAUUACUCUAACCCCACCUUAACCCUGAGCUUAAUUCUAUCACUGAAAUAACUAGUUCUUACUUAAUUCCGAACCAAACGAAGCCUUAGUGACAACAACUAAAAUAAUACUUAAAUAGUUAGUGACAACAACUAAAAUAAUACUUAAAUAGUACUAACACCAAUACAAUAAUAAAAGAGUGAAGAGAAUUUCAUUGGGAGGAUGAGAAAAUGAAAGGGUAGUGCUUGGUGUUUGGUGGCCUAGGGCAUUGUGUGACCCAUGCAAAUAUUAAUAGCCCCAUUCACAUAAGCCAAACACAAGGAUCUCUCUCUCUCUCUCUCUCUCUCUCUCUCUCUAAGUCAUAGGAACCCACAAAGAAUGGGAGGUGGAGGAAUAUGUCAGUGGAUUGUGCACCUAAAGAAAUGCCCUAAUUGGUUCAAUUCACAAGGUGGGUCCCACAAGAAGGGGACUAUUAUUAUUGGGGAAAGUAAACUACAAGAGAGAGAGAGAGAGAGGAGGGUGGUGUAAGACAAAGGCAUUUUUUCUCUAAAGAAUAAAGCUAAUAUGAAAAAAAGUGAGGGGGGAGGGGGAAUGGCACCAAAGGGAAGCAAAGCACUUAGAAGGGGAGGGAAAAAAAAAAAGAAAAAAAGAGUGAGGAGUAAAGCUAUAGGAGGGGAGUGAAUAAAAAAAUAGCUAAAGGGAACAUGGAGUAACAUGGAGUACAGGUACUUUGAUGCCAUUGCAAGGAAGCAACCCCCUCUUUGGGAGGCUUAGAAAUGGCUCUUGUUACCACCUAGUAGAAGCUAAAUAACAAUAAUAUAAGUAGCUAAAGAUUCAAUCACAAGAAAUAGAAAAAAAAAAAAAAAAAAAGGAGAAGCAGCAGAAGCAGCAGCAGCAAGAUGCAUGGAAGACAGACUGAUAGACUCAAAGAUAAGAAAAUCUUUGAUUAUUUACUCGCGAAGUAGAUUCUUGCGACUUUGAAAAGCAAAAAAAUUAUCCUAAAAGUCAGGCUAAAUAAAUACUAAUGAGUUUUUUGAAUGUUAGAAUAAGUCAUUCAGUAAUUACUUGUUAAGUAUGAAGACAAAAGUUUGUCGCCUAUAUUUUAACAUGAUAAUUUUUUUUUUAAUCUCCGAUGUGAUUUAUGUUAUUCUGAAUAAAUGAUGAUGUUUAUGCAUUUAAAUUGGCCCAUAAUUUUAUAUCAUUUGAAAGUAAUAGGGUACCUGUAGAAGACUAGUAAACCAAAAAAAAAAAAAAAACAACAACACUUAUUGGAUACACUUUCUUGUGAGACUUUACAUUGGUCAAACUUGAAAAAGGGAUAAGAGCAUAAUCAUCAUCCAUAAUUCCAUGGUUGGAUAAUAAUGAUUGUGUUUAGAUCCUUCUUUUAGAGGGAAUGAUGGGAUUUUUUUCACAAGGUCAAAAUCCUUUUUAGCCAAUAAGAAAUUAAAUCUUUUGCUCAAGUACCAUUUUCAGAAAAAAAAGAUAUAUAUAUUUAUAAUAAAUUAAAAAGGAAAAAAAAAGAAAAAAAAAAGUUGGUGCAUUUCCAAAUUUCACCAUCAAAGGUUAAGAUAAUCCCAACCAACCACCUAAAAUUAAUUAAAGAGAAAAGAUGACUCUUAUCCUACCAAUGGGGUAUUAAUUAACUAGAUUCAGUAUUCAACACACAUGUGAAUCCCUUUGAAGGUUAUGUUAAAUGACAAAGACCUAAUAAACUUCACCAUUAAUAAUCUCCUUAGUUGUAAUUAUUUGAUCAAAAUUUUGUGAUAAGUAAUAUAACAAAAAAAGAAAGAAAGAAAGAAAGAAAGAAAAUGUAUGCAUUAGUAUAGAGAUGAGUAAUAGAAUAAUCAAGAGAAUUAAAAAAUAUGAAUAAAGCUACUAUGCUUUUUGAAGCAAGAAGCCCUCUGUGCUUUCACUUUGUUUUCGAUAAUGGAAUAUUCGAAUCGAUGGUCGACUCUCUUAGACUUGAUUAAUACUAUUUAAAGUAUAUAAAAGUUAAAUUUUUUGAUUUUUCGAUGUCAUUUACCUGGUCGUUGAAACGUUUUAAAAUUCAACUAUUUUAAUGGUCGAUAAGAGAUUGUCACAAGCUUAACGGUGCAGAAGUAUCCAAAUUUGGUGAAAUUUUGAUUUUUGUUUUUUAACUAUCUACAGUAAGAUUAGUAUUUUUGAUCUAAAAUUUAAAUUUUGUAUCCUUACUUUUUAUGAGAUUUUUAUUUUUAGUUGUUCAUUUUAGAACCACUCGAUCACAAGGUAGAUGAUGUCGAAAAAUUAUAAAAUCUAACUUUCAUAUACUUCAAAUAGUAUAAAUUAAGUUUAACAAAGCCAAUCAUCGAUUCAAAUGUUUCAUAAUAAAAAAUAAAGUGGAAUAUAAAGACCUUCGUGCUUCUAAAAGUAUAAUAGCCAUAUUCCUAUUAAUUAUAUACACAUGAAAUCCUUGUGGAGGUUAUGUUCAAUAACAAAGACUAAUUAACUACAACACUAAUCAUCUUCUUAGUUGCAAUUAAUGAUCAAAAUUUUGUAAUAAGUAUAAACAAAAAAAAGGGGAAAAUGUGUGCAUUAGUAUAGAGAAGAGUAAUAAAAUAAUCUAGAGAAUAAAAAAAAUAUUCCAUUCCACAUGGAUUUAUUAAAGUGGAUAGUGAUAUCUCUCUAAGUGGUGAGAACCCAUUUGUUCAUUAGAAAUUUAACUUGUGUAUAAAAUAUGGACUAGUGUGAUCAAAUAAUUUGACCAAGAACAAGAAGGAUUUGAUUCUUGAUUUGCAUGUAUGUAGGUCAUGCAAUCAACUACUCCAGCUACUCUAAAAAUUAUUUUUUUUCUCCAUUUUUUUUAUUUCUUAUUUUAAUUUUUUUUCUUACACCAAUUCAAUAUGUUAAGUCUCAACGUGAAAUUCCAACCAGACACAUAAUAGAUCUGUCAUAAGAUCUGUCGUACAGACAGAGUCUCUCCUGCAUCGGGUCGUUGACGCUAAAUAUUAAUCCAAAAGCUCGAGCUGUUAGAAAUACGCAACCAACUCACUUAAAGCGUACAGAUACAGCAUUCACCGAUUUUUGAUUGUGAUUCGGCCCAACCAACCUCACGCCCACUUCGAACAUGACUCGAUCCAACCCGGCCUCUCGUCAUUUCGAACAUAACUCAGCAUAACCUAACCUCCCGCCGUAAAGUAGAAUGCUGGUUCCUUUAAGCACCCUAUAUACAAUUUUAUAAUUUAUAUAAUGCAAAGAAAGUACUCUUCAAGAAGGUCCCUAAUUUAGCCACAAUUCAAUCAGAUCCUCUCACAUACAAAAACUUAUAUCUAUUUCGAAAAUAUUGUUAAUUAGCACAAAACAUUUCAAAAAUCUGGAAAAGUAAUUUGUUCAAAGUUUCAUUAGUCCUUUUUAUAUUUUGUGAUCUUGUGAUCAAUGAGACAAAACCAAACUGCUGGCCUCACUGGAUCGGUUCGUCGAUCGAUUGAUCGAUCGGUCAAUCAGUCCGUUCUGUUGGCGUAUUUGUAUAAAUAAAUCUAUCGUCGUCGUCGCCAUGCUCGCGAUUGCUUGUUGAUUAAGUAAAUCUUUGCAUAUUAAUAUAUAAAUUGCACAAAAAUUAUUUGCCAAAGUGAUGCAUAGUUAAGUUGUUCUAUAAGUUAAAAUUGACCAUCCAACAAUUUUUUUCUUUUUUAUUAUUAUUAGGUUAAAUUACAUAAAACUCCCUAUAAAUAUCUAUUUUUUCACUUUUCUUUCAUGACUUUUAAAAAUCUAUAUUUUGCCCUCUUAAAAUUUCAAAAAUAUUUUCAGAAAGGUAUCACAUUAGUGGAGAGGGUAAAAUAACCAAAUUGCCCCUAAUUCUUCUAUAAACAAAUAAUUUUUAAUAUAUUUCUGUCAUUUUAAAGGAUAUUUUCGGUAUAAAUUAUACAGAAUGGACGGAAUAGUGAUAGAACCCUGACGAAGGGAUGCUAAAUACAACAACUUAAAAUGUUGACGAGAUAAAUAUAUAUUUUUGAAAGUUAGGAAGAAAAAAUAAAAAAAAAGAUAUUUAUAAGCGGAGGUUUUAUGUAAUUUAGCCCUAUUAUCAUUAUUAGGAAAAACUUCAAAUACAACUCCUGUGGUUUCACACUUUCUCACUUUAGUACCCUGUGGUUUAAAGUGUAUCAAUUUAAUACCCUAUGGUUCCAUUUUUAUCUUUUUAUUAUCGAUUCCACUAAUUUUUUUCGUUAAAUCAGUGACAAAGUUAAAACUAAAGGGUACUAAAGUGAAUAUUCGAUAAAUCUAGGCAGGGUAUCUGAAGCUUUUUUGUAUAUAAUUUAACGAAAUAUUAACGGAAAAGCUGACGAAAAGAUAAAAAUGAAACCACAGGACACUAACUUGAUAUUUUUUAAACUAUAGGGGUACUAAAGUGAGAAAGUGCAUAAUUAGUUAAUUUGGAUUCCGCAAAUAUUCGGUAGAGUGUAAUAUGCAUAAAAUUCGUUUUCUAAUUUUUAAAUUUGUUGAAAAAUUCGGCUUAAAAAACGAACUCGGUAUAAAAUACAAAAUAUAAUAUAUAAAAUAUAAGAUAAUCUAUAUUUAAAUAUAAAAAUUAUAAGUUUUUUAUUUAGAUUUUCAGUAAUUCGGAAAUAAUUCGCGAAUUAUUCGCAAUUAUUCGGCUAGCCUAAAAAUUUACGAAUAAUUUAUUUUCUUUGAAAAAAAUUUGUAAACAGACCAUUUAAUUUGAAUCUUCAAUAAUUCACAAAUAAUUCGCGAAUUAACUAACAAAGGGUAUGAAUCACAUGAUACAACAAAAUAUUGUAGUUUGGUGGGCCCUCACAUUGUUUUGCUGGUGAGAGAGCUGCAGUUGCUGCAAAGAAACUCAACACCUUCCAAAGAAAUUCUUGUUGUGUGUUUGUUUUGAUUAAUUGAAUUUCCCUUCAAUAUUAAUUUGUGAACUUCAUGUGGAGUACCAACCAUUGCAAUUAAUGCUUUAGAAACAUCAAUACUUAGGGCAAAAAUGUAUGGAAAACCCCCCUCAACUAUGAGCCAUUUUAAAAUGGCAAAAAAAAAAAGAAGAAGAAGAGAUCGAUGCUUUUUUUAAAAAAAAAAUUAACAUUAAUUUUACAUGAUUUGGUAUAUUGGUAGGAGGACUCUUUUUUUUUUUAUUGUGGUUGAUUAGCUAAAAUACAAAAAAGCUUUAUGCUCGUGAGACUCCACAAUUUGGAAUAGUUUUACAUAUAAAGAAUAAUAUAUAGGACUAACACUUCUUAAUUCAACUAUAAUAUUUUGGACUGCGGCUAGGCUUAAAAGGUUAAAAGAGUUACGCAUGCUAGGGUUAAAGUAGUCCUAGGAUGAGUGACCCUUUUGGAAAGUGGGGCAUCACAGUUGAUAUCAGAGCCAAUUAUCAACUAAAAAUGUAAGAUGAUUGAGUCUUAACUGAGUCAGAAUUAUACAGCGGGCAGAACAAGAUUCUUUGGCUGAUGGCUGUUAUGAGUGAGGCGCGAUCUCCUAGAAGGUUUUUUAAGACUAAUGAGACGAGCCUCAUAUUGACUGGUACUUGUGAGUGUGUCUAAGCCUGAGAAAGACGUCAAAGUUUAAAAGGGGAGAGAAUGUGUGAUCAAGGUCUUAGAAUAGUCCUAUAUAUAAGGUACAACAAGAGAGUUAAGCGAGUUAAGUGUGCUAGGGUUAGAGUAGUCUUAGGCUGUGUUUUGUUGGAAGGAUAUUCCAGAACAAGGUGGGAUAUCCUCUAAUCAAUACCCAAAAAACAGAAAAAAAAAAAAGAAAAAAGAAAAAAGAAAGGAGGAUUUGUUGUUCCAGGCUUAACGGGUUGUUCCCGGAACAAUCCGUUAAGCAUGUUCUCCUCGUAUGGGAGAACUAGAGGGAACAAUUUGGGAUGCUCUGUUAGUUUUACAUUUUGCCCUUGAAACCCUUCCUCAUCGGGAUGUGUUUAGGAAUUUUUUUCUAGAGAUUUUUAAAAAAAAUUUAUAAGAGCCACACUAUUUUGACAUAUUAAUAUUUAAUUUAGUAAAUUAAAAAAAAACGAUUGAAUGAUUAAUUUAAUUUAAUAAGUGCUGUUCCAUUUUAGAUAGUUAUAUUUUAAAUUAGUUUCGAAAAAAAAAAUUUAAAUUGAAUACUACUAAACAUUAUUUUCAAAAUAAUGUACAAAUAUACUUAAUUUGUAAAUUAAUUUAUUUUAAUACUUAAUUUAUUAUAUCAUAUUUGAUUAUUAUAUUCAAGGGCAAAUUUAUCAUUCUAUUUAAUUUUUAUCUUUCCAACACCUUAUUUCAACAUAAACAUUCAAAUACUAUCAAGAAUAUUCUCUAAGAACAAACAAACAACAUCCAAACGUAAUUUACAACUUGUUCUAGCUUAUACCGGAAUAUCCCCUGUUUUCGGCCCUGUUUUCGGAAACAACAAAAGUUGUUCUCCAAAAUUUAGUUCUCAAGCCAAACGCAACCUUAGAAUAUAAUAUUUUGAGAGUUGGCUAGGCCGAAGAGAUUAAAAGAGUUAAGCGUGUUAGGAUUAAAAUAGUUUUAAGAUAGAUGACCCUUCUGGAAAGUGGGAUGUCACAAUACUUCAGCUUGAUACUGGUUUCAACACACUGAACCAAAUUAAUCUGAUGAGAUCAAUUAGAAUAAGGUAAAGUUAGGUCCUUUUUUCCCUUUUUUUCUUAAGCUUAGUGGACAAUCCUACUUCAUUAACUAAACCACUAUUUCACUAACUACAAGUAUAUGGAUGUAGUUUUUGGAAUUUAGUAUGUGUGUAUAUGGGUUAAAUAUAUGUAUGCAUGUAGUUGAAUCCAUCAAUAAGCAAAUGGGUUGUUUAAGUAAUAAAUGCAUUACUUUAUUUUAGAAGCACCCCUAAAAUCUAUAUUUAAUUGUUGUAGUAUAGUUUUCGAUGUUAGAAUGUUCAAAUCGAUAAUUCAUACUAUUAAAAUUGAUCUAGAAUAUUCGAAGUUUUUAGAAACAAAAUUUUUAUACAUUUUCGACAUCGUUUCUUAUGUUCAACUGUCUCAAAAUUCCUAGUUUUUAACCGAUGAGUUUGUAAUUUAACAGUUUAAAGGAAUCUAAAUUUAUUAAAUGUUUGAUAAAAAAUAUUUUAAAUUAUCUAAAUCAAGAUCAAUACUCUUGAUCUUGAAUUUAAAAAUCAUAUAUCUUCAAUUUUAAAGGUUAUUCUUUUUUACCGUUCAUUUUGACAUGAUUUGAUCAUUAGGUAAAAGGCAUAAUAAAACUUGAAAUUUUAUUUUUAGAUAUUUUAAAUACUCUAGAUUUUAUUUAAUAAUGUGGGUGGUUGAUUUGAACACCCUCAGUUCAAAAACAAGACUAUAGUACUGAAGCCCCUAUACUAUAGAUAAUACAAUA
RNAcentral lists this long non-coding RNA (83538 nucleotides) under Ananas comosus (pineapple). RNAcentral describes it as "long non-coding RNA (ACOM_LNC026476)". The stretch from base 59973 to 60045 matches the Rfam family "tRNA". Lineage: Eukaryota; Viridiplantae; Streptophyta; Magnoliopsida; Poales; Bromeliaceae. The record is from RNAcentral.